This 53583-nucleotide long non-coding RNA is filed under the name Prunus persica (peach). Its description in RNAcentral is "long non-coding RNA (PPER_LNC008406)". Lineage: Eukaryota; Viridiplantae; Streptophyta; Magnoliopsida; Rosales; Rosaceae. The record is from RNAcentral.
UCACCAUGCACCUACAUAAACAAACACAUAAUUAUAUAUAAGUGAUUUUGCAUCUCCAUUAGCUUGUGCUAGUAACUGGUAACCAAGAACCCUCAUGUGCAUCAUUGCAUGCAUAGUUAAGAAACCAACAACCUCAAAAGGAUCUGCCUCUCUCUGACAAAAUGAAGCACAGUUCUCAUUUAUUGAAGAUGUUCUCUUUCCUACGAAGGAAGUACAUUUGUUUUCAAAGAAACCCCUCAAGCAAUUGUGAAAACUUUUAUGAUAUGUCCGCAUAGUAUUACAAAUUCACUCAAAUUAUAAUAUAUACUGUUAAAACCCUAAAACUAUAAAUCCUAUAAUAAAAGCAUCCUGUAUAUGCUAAUUAAUCUACCUUUCAUUUUCAUUUGCUCUUAAGUUUCUUCUCCAUUGACGAACAAUGCACAAGAUCCAAAUAUCAGAUAUUGUGGUCGUUUUCAAAGAGGCUCAUUUUGCGGAGCUUUAUUUGUAGCCGACAUGUUGCGUGUCUCAACUCAAACCAAUUAUUUAUGGGUCGUUUUCCAUACUCCAUAAAGAAGUAGCUAGAUAGGAUAGUGACCAUGCAACAUAAUUUAUAUUUGUAGACUAUCAAUUAUGGAACCAUCGAAUGACAUAAGUUAACCAUCUCUGCGCACAUGGGGUGGUACCACACUGAAAAAGUGAGCGAAACUCUCUUCCUAGCUUUAAGUGCAUCCAAUUCAAUUCACGUAUGAGACAAUUUUGAGGCAAUCCUAUAUAAAACUCUCCCCCCUCUACCUCCCUAAUGAAUGACAAAAAAACCCAUCUCUUGCCAUAUUUUUUUUCCCUUAAUGAGAAUACAUAUAGACAAUUAAUCAGCACUGUAAUAUACAAAGAAGUUGUUAUCGGCAAUUCAAAAAUGUUUACUCCUCUCAUGAAAACAAGUAGUAAACAUUGAUUACAAUGAAAAAAUGUAUCUUUUAAAGAGUUAUUUACACGAACACACCCUCAAGUUUUCGGCUUUUUCACAAAACCCCCUGAGGUUUCGAAAAUUACACGAACACCCCCCGAGGUUUUAAAUUGUUUCCACAAAACCAAUUUUCAUUGAUUUUUCGUCCACAGAUUGAUGAUUUUUUAUUAAAAUUUUUAUAUCCAAAAGACAGAAUUAACCUUUGAGAUUAGAUUGCACAUACAUUCACUAAGGUUGUUUUUUUUCAUUUGCACAUAUUUAAAAAAAAAUGAAAUCAUCAAGUUUAGGAAGAACAAUCAACGAAAAGGGGUUUUGUGAAAACAAUUUGAAACUUCAGUGGGUGUUCGUGUAAUUAUGAAACCUUAAAGGAUUUUGUAAAAAAGUCGAAAACCUGAGGGGGUGUUAGUUCAAAUAACUCUCUUUUAAAAUGUUUUGUAAUAAAUUUUGUGCAUCAUGUACGACUGUGCUUUUAUACAUGAUAAUAAAAUGAUUUUAUAGUAAAACUACAAAUGAUAACAUUUUUACACACCCACACAAAGAAACACGAAAAUAACAAAUUUAUUUCUAUAAUACUUCAAUCAACAAAAUUUUAUUAUUAAAGAUCAUUCUCCUAAAAAUUGACAUGGUUGUCAAGAAAAAAAAAAUUUUGACAGAUAGAAAAAUAUGUAACGUUACUGGUAUAUUUCUUGAUAUGUUAAAAAAAACAGUUAUUGAACAUUAUCAACUAGCUAUUAGUCUGUAUUUCUCUUCCGAAUAUUGUAAUAUGUCUCAAAUUCGAAUUAUCUUCUCACAUUGAUUUGAAAAAAAAAAACUCAACACUUUCCAAAUUAUAUUAAAAAGUUCAAAAAGCAACGAAAAACAUUAGAAAAUUAUAGUUUAACUCGGGCUAGUUAGACUAACCCAAACUCAACCCAACAGAGCCCAACAGACUUGGACUGAACCGAAGGCUAGUCAAGUUCGAGCCCAAAUGAAAAUCUGCAGUUCUUCUUCUUCUGACCCCAAAAAAAUAAAGUCCAAAUUAUUGCCAAAUUCAGGUAUAUUUUUAAUUUUAUUUCUUCAAUCGCAGGAAGCGCGAAAAGAAUCAAAAUUCGUAAAGUAAAAAACCCAUAAUUUCUGUGUUUCUGCUUCUGAAACUAAAAAACUGAAAAACCCUCUUCUAGGGUUUAAGUUCAACGGUCAGAGCUUUCAGGCUCUUCAAUGGCCAGCCCUAAGUCCGUCGACGCCUCUCUGUGGUGGGACCCUUUCUCUGUUUUACUCACUGAGCUCGAAAAUGCGUCUCUCUCGUCCGACCUCCCUCCCAAUUUGGUAAGCUCUCCUUCUCUCUCUCUCUCUCUCUCUCUCUCUCUCUCUCUAUAUAUAUAUAUAUAUAUGUAUAUCUCUAUCCCUCUAUUCAUGCAUGCAUUUGUGCGAAAGUAAGUAAGUGUUUGGAAUUUGGUUGGUGUUUUGUUUAGGUAAAGAAAUUGAAGGACAAUCAUGCUUGGUUUGUGGACACAUUGUCUCACUUCAAGCCGCCCAAUGAGAAUUCAAGAGAGGCUUUGAAUUCACAGCAAGUGAAAAUCGGGUCUCACCAGUUGGAUAUAAAACCUGAAUUGAAAGAUAAGGCUUUGAAAAUCAGCUCUUAUUUGGUGAGUUUGUACUACUGCUUUCAUGCCAUUUUCACAAUUGAAAUAUGCAUGCGUGUAGUGUUUAUAUAUGUACGGAUAUUGGAUUUUUUAUAUUGUAAAUAUUAUUUUCAGAAAUUGUGUGAAUCUAUAAAUUUGUGGCAAUUUUUGUUUCUUGCUUUUGGGCUCUCUGUGAACUUUUAUUUGGUUUUGGAUUCUCAAUUAGUGACUUGUAAAACUAAUCAUAUGAAUUAUAAAGUUGAUUCUGAAGAAACUUAUUAUGGGUUUGGCAAGUUCCGCAUGCAAAUUUUCAACCGAAGUUACUGCUUGGUUGAUUUAAUAGUAUGUUAUUUUCUUCAUGUUAUGUGAAACAGAUAGAUAAUGAUGUUCCCCAUAACAUAAAGCAGAUGCUACUGAUGGUCUUAUUGAUUGCCCUAGAUAAUGAUGUUCUCUAUAACAUAAAGCAGAUGCUACUGAUGGUCUUAUUGAUUGCCCAUUUGCUACAAAACUUACUUUUUUGUUUGUUUCAGUGUCUAGAUGAGGUGCAAUCGUACAUUCUUGUUGAGAGGUCUUUCAAGAACAACAACGUAGCUCUUGACUCUAUAGUUCACGAGUAUUUUCACGCGGUUAGUUUCUCACUCAUAUUGUCUGACUGGUACGUAUGUUGAAUGCUAUAGUUCUUAUGUUAACGUACCUGGUGUAAGGGGUGGAUGAGUUGAGUGUAAAUGUCAAAUUUUUGCUGCUUGCAGAAAGUGGACAUUUUUCGAUCAAACAGAAAAAGAAAUUGGACAUUUACUUUGUUGCAUUUAGUGUUAGUGUAUCAUUCUCAGUUUUUUCUUCUGUUUUUCCCACUUCCCUUCCCUCUUAUGCAGGUAUGUAUUGACUAUUACAUUGAGCGACAGUACCUGCUGAAAUGUACCAGGAGAAUUCUCGCACAUGCUUGUAAGUCAAUCAUGAGUCCCUCCCUCCUUCUGUUGGCAUCAUGUUUUUUUCGCUAAGGCUGAACUUCAACAACGUUUGAGAAUUGAUCAUUAAUGCAGUGUCUUUAGGAAGUGUCUCUGGAGAAGGUAAUGCUAUGAAGGAGGAGGCGCUAAAGUUGAUUUCUGAUGGAUUGGAGAGGAAGCUGUUAUCCGUGCUGCAAGACCUUUUAUCCUCUAAUCACCCUGAACAAAUGGUAUGUUCAAAUGCCAAUUAGGCGUAAUAAUUACCCCUUUAAGUUUAUAGAUCCUUGCUCCGUAGUAGACCAAUUAGGUUAUUUUUGUCCUCUUCAGGCGUCCUUUUGCAUUCUUAUGGGUUGUGCUGUGCUAAAUUAUGAAGUUAAUUGAUGUUGAAAUUACAUCUCACUGCAUGCUUGACCAUCUUUGGCUACAAUGUGGAUACUGGGGAUUUGGAAGCUGACGAAAAACUCUUUAGUAUAUUAUCAUUUACCAGGUUGCGUAUUUAUAUUUGAUAGUGUGUUGAAGGAGGUAAUGUUAAGCAAAAUUGAGGUAGUAGUGGCCUAGUGAGAGUGGUUGCUAUAACAACUGCUGGAGGAAGUUUUAAACCAGUUAUUGACAAAUAACAAGUCCCUGCGGCUGUGCGAUGUGCUAUUAAGAAACAUGUAUUUGGGUGUGGAAUAUCUAUUUGGCCGUCCCUGUAUUACAUUCAUAUGAUGCUUUAGGACAGAAUAGGUGAAAUUAUCAUCGUUUAUUCUGCUGAAUUGCAAUCUUAUGUUUCCUUAAUUACAUUUGAGAUUGUAUGUCGAUGCCCAUGUAAAGGGAUGUUAUUGACAUAGGUGUACGCAUCUCCAUGCAUGCUUUUAUUUGAAGAAUAUAGAAUUGAAUCAUUUUGUAUUUGUUACAACGCCCUAAUGUUAACUUGUCUGGGUACUUUAUUAGGAUAUUGACCUUUUCACUUUGUGGGCUGAGGAGACACUAGUUGAAGACAAUUUAGUUUUGGACAUUCUUUUCCUUGUUUAUAAUGAGUCAGUUUGUACUUGUAAUGGUGAAAGGUGGAAAACAUUGUGCUGGCUAUAUAAGGUAUUUUGUUAUCUUUCUUGCAGAAUUUGUUUAUAAAGUACUAUCUUAUCCUAUUCCAAGCUCAAAAGCUUUCUCCUGCAGGGAAUUCUAUCUGGGUCUUAUAACUUUGGAAAGUUGGCAGUAUCAACUGAAGCACUACGUUCUGCUUAUCAAGCCAAAGUUCAGCUGCUUCUAAUCCUUAUAGAAACCUUGGACCUGGAAAAUAUUCUCCAAAUGGUUCACGAUGAAAUCCCUUUCAGGUUUUUAUCUAGUUAGGAUGCAUCUGCAUAUUUAUUCUGCAAUUCAUAAACUAUCAAGAGCAAGCAUCUUAGGCCAUAUCAAUGAUUUAUGCAUUUAAAUUUCCAGAUCAUGAAGUUCACAUUUGUUGCGCAAUACAGUGCAGCAUUUCUUAUGUCAUUACUCAAUGAAGAUGCCUUUUGGUGUAUGCUAAGGGACGAACUGCCUUUAGGUGGAAUCCACUUGAGAGGCAGAUAUGGCGUGCCUUUAGUUAGGAUAUGUGUUGUAAAUUAGACAAGACAAAAUUAAAAUAACAAAAUUGAACUUAAGUAUUGGUUUCUAUUGGAUCAGAAAAUUCUACUAACUAUGAAAAGCAAGAGAAACUGCGAUUGCUUUUUUUCUUUCUUCUUAUUUAUUAUUAUUUAAUUAAUGUGAAUGCAGUACGAUCAAUACUCUUAUAUAAAUGAAAACCACUCAGACUCAUUACAAGCAGGCCUAGAGAUCUUGAAAUAAUAUGGGCGUUUAGGUCUAACAUUUCCACACCCAGAAAACUGCAGAUUCCCAAUUCGCUCGAAGCUUGAGUACUAUCUCUAAGCAUGCUGUUAGCCAAGCUAUUUAUCUGCGAAUUUAGGACCUUAAGAUAAUUUGAUUUGCAAUUUUAAAAUGCCGUGAUUGCAACUAUGGAUAUAAUAUGCUUGUUAAUGCUAUGGUAACUUCCCUUUUAUAUAUUUAAAUGAAAAGUGUUAAGCUUCAUCAGUAUAAUUCUAAUCAAUGAUUGAUUCCUUAAGGUUAAUAUGGUGUUGUUGGUUCUGUUCUUUGUGUCCAUUGUUAAAAUUUUCCAUGGUUAUAUAUCCUUACCUCCAUCAUCUUUAUUUGCCUUUUUCUGCUAUUCCUUAGGGAAGGCAAAUCCGUUUUUACUUUGGCUGAUGUCCAAGAGAUGGAAGCAAUAAUUUCAACUUUCAAUGUUUUUGAAACAAAAGAAGCAGGCCCAUUAAUUCUAGGAUGGGCUGUGUUUCUUUGUCUGAUUUCAUCACUUCCAGGCAAAGAAGAAAACAAUGUAGUAAUGGUAGGUGGUUCCGUGCAGAUGUUAUCUCCCAUCCAGGCUGUAUGAAUGAUACGAAUGAUUAUUGUGCUCAGUUUUUCUCUCAUUUUCCAGGAAAUUGACCAUGGUGGUUAUGUUCGUCAAGCCUUCGAGGCUGCAUCUUUGACUUAUCUUGUAGAAUUCCUUCAAAGUGAUGUAUUGAAGGAAUCUGAUGUAAGUUAUUCACAGUUUAUAAGUGUAUGUGUUUAGAGAAAGUAGUUUCUCGUGUUGCCCAAUAUGCUCAAAUUUGCCGAUUGGUUUCCCCUCUUUACUCAUUAGAAGGCUUGGGGUCCAUCCCGAGGUUUUAACAAGUUUUUAUUUACAUUGCUUUGGCCAUUUAAAGUCUUUUUUUUGUUGUCUUUUUUCCCCCAAAUUAUUUUCAUUUUCAAACGGGUGACCUUUUUUUCUUUCUUUUUCUUUAGGGGCCUGUUGCUGGUUAUCGAAGUGUGUUGAGAACCUUUAUUUCUACAUUUAUUGCAUCUUAUGAGAUUGGUCCUCAGGUAAAUGCAUAAUGGAUCUCUGCAAAUUCCUUAUUGGCAUUUGUUGGAUGCAUUUCUCAUUUCUUCUGCUCCUUAUACUGUGCAGCUGGAAGAUAGUGCUCUUAAGUUAAUAGUGGAUAUUCUUUGCAAAAUUUAUCAGGGAGAGGUUUGGACACUCUUGUUAUCUUUCAGCAUCUGUUGCUAUGAGAAAAAUAUUUUAUAAUUAUAAAUAUGAAAUUGCUAUUAUCAUUUUUAUUAGUGUAUUUGUUACUCAUUUUUAAAGGGAAGUUCCGCUGAAUUUUGCAGGAGUCACUUUGUAUCCAGUUUUGGGAUCGUGAAAGUUUUAUUGAUGAGCCUAUCCGGUGUCUUCUUCGCAGCUUAGAGGGUGAAUUUCCUUUCAGGACUGUGGAACUAGUUCGCCUUUUAUCAUCUUUUUGUGAAGGAACUUGGCCUGCAGAAUGUGUGUGAGUAUACUUAUUUGGCAAGGCUGUUUCUUAUUCUGGUUUUUGAUAAGCCGAAUGAGUUGUAGACCUGAUCAGUAUGUGGGUGUUGGGUUCAACUUUAAUUUGGUUAUGGAAAUUCUCAGGCCAGACUUGUUUGCUGUAUUAGUUGAUAAUAAGAAGAGUCUUUGUAAAAUUGUAUUUAUAAGCGGGUAGAAAGCCUAACAACAAUUAAUCAUAAAAGCUUAUGUAAACUUUGUCUCAGUUAUCCUUUUCAAUUUGUGCAACAUAACUGUCCUCAAAAUCCUAUAUUAAAAGGGCUACAGUACUUUUACUGUUUUUAUACAGUAAGCCAAAACUUUUUAUUUUUAUUUCGCCUGGUCCUCUGCAUCAAAUACUUACAGUCUUGGUGCUGUGAUUAAAGCUAAUGUAUAUAUUUGUGGUAAAUAAGUAAAGCAAAGUUUGUGCUAAGUAAAUGUGUGUGAAAAGAUAUGAUCAACUCCAUCUACUUGGUUAAGCAUGCUUAUAUCUAGUUGUAAACAUGUGUGAAUUUUUUCCUAUAUAUAUUUAUAUAGUUAGUGUAGCUAUUGGUUGUAAUUUUUGUAUAUUUUCUGGUGUUUCUCAAGCUUCUUUUUGUAAGAUGAUAUUGAUUCAUUAUUUCUUUUCUAUAUUCCCUCUGCCCAAGGGAAUGCUCAAAAUAAGUUAUAUUAUCUUUUAAUUGGUUCCCAUGCAAAACAUGCUGCUUAUUCAAUUAUUAUGUUGUUCUCUCAUUUGUCGUGUGUUCAUCCUGUCAACAGGUUUAACUUUCUAGAUAAGUCUGUUAAGAUAUCAUCCUUGGUUGAGAUUAAUCAUAGUUCCUCUGUGGAUGACAUCUCCACAAUUGUUGAGACGCACGUCCCAUUGCAUGUUCCUGGAUUUGAAGGUUUAGUCAUUCCCAGUAGAACUUGUGGACAUGUUUUAAGAUCAGUAGGUGGAAAUGCUGCUGUUGUCCAAUGGGAGGUAAGCGAAUUACUUUUAACUAUAUUGGUAAUUGGUUUGUAUUGAUGAAUUUUACAUAUUCCUGACAAAGAUCACUAGAGUUUCAACUGCUUAUAAGGGCACGGGUAUUUGGUGAUACUUUAAAAAGCAUGUUCCAAUGUUACUGCAUUUGUCUCUGUGUGCUGUUUGUGAAUACUCUAUCCUUCUCGUGUAUUUUGAAAUUUGAAUACGCAUUUUUAGAGAUUACCAUGUGACAAAUUAUUACCUCAAUUAUACGUGAGGCAUUAAAAUGCAAAAACAUGUAUUAUUUAAUAUUAUCUUGUCUUACUUUCGUUUUUGAUGCCAUCUUCCUUUACGCUCUACAUUAUUAACAAAGCCAUGAUUUUUUCUGCUAUAAUUCAAGUGACAUGUCUAGUAUCAUUUAGUGCAUUGUGAACAAUAUAUUCGAGGAGAGUAAUAUAAGAAAUCCAAUUUAAUAUUCAAUUUAAUUUUUUAUUGGUUGCUGUUUUGUGCUAAUUCAUGCUUCUUUUGUACAGUACACACAAUCUGAGGUGCUAGUAUUGCUCAUGCGCCUGGCUGAGGAGCUGUAUUUUGAGAGAAAUGAUGAAGUUCUUCUUAUCCUUGAUCUGAUUAGCCGGAUGGUUACCUUUAACACGGUAUUUUUUUUUCAUCAUUCAUUGCUAGAGUCUUUAUGGAUUUAGAAAAGUAUUUGACAAUUUAUUGUAGUCGUUGGGUUGUUGCUAAGAAACUUGGUGGCCAGGCCUUCAUGCUCUAUUUGAAUAAUCUUGAUUAAGCUGUUAAAUGCUUAUGGGUGCAAUUCAUGAUUUCUUACCAUUUCUGUAACUAUCUCUUUUUUACCAACAUUUUCAUACUGGUGUUUUAUGUUUAGGCUGUAUGUUUUGCUUUGAUGGACAUUGGGAGCUCAUUGCAUUUCCAAUCAACUGGCAUGAGUUGGCAGAUAGGAAGUAAUAUGUGGUAUAUAGCAACCUUUUGUUUGUGCUUAUGUGUUUUGUUUCCUCUUUCUCGCCUGUCUCAGUGUGUCUUGUAAUUUGCACUUUUGUUAUUCGUUCAGGUUGGUUGAGAUCAUUUGCACUUUAAUCAGAAAAUCAUCUCCUACUUCUGAUGGUGCCACUCUGAUGUCAUUGGGUAUAAAUAUUUUGGCAAAAAUGUUAAAAUGGUAACUUCAUCCUUUAUCCUCUUGAGUUCUCUAUGUCUUGCGUACAUAUCUUUGUCUUUUCAAUUGUGGGUGGUCUAAUAUUCUUAUUAUUAAGAUGAUGUCAAUUGGAAAGCUGUUCUUAGCCAGGGAUUCGGUCUGAGUUUUGUUCGCUUUAUUGUGGAAUUGUUAUUACGAUCUGAUGUUUGGUGGCGCAUUGUUGUAGGUUUGUUUUGCUUUGGCAGAUACUUGUCUGCUGUGUUUGUAGUUUGCCUUUAUAUCAAUAUAGUUCUGUUUCCACAUUAAAAAAUAUGGUGUCAAUGAGAAUGACUUCCCUCACAAUGACAGCAGUCGUAGUUGUACAUGAUAUAAUUCUUUAAAUUAAUAGUGCAGUCCUGAAUGUGAUGUAUCUUGAACUUCAGAGUGUUAUAUUAGCCUAUAAUUUUUGCUUUAAAUUGAUUUCGGCAUAUGCCAGACCUGAGCAAAACCUCUGUGUUUAACAUGCAUUUAUUGUGGCAGUUACCCUUCUCAUGUUGCUGAGGUGGCUUUAAAGGCAAAUAUAUUUGAUUUCAGCAAUGGUCACGAUGAUUCAUCAAGGUGAAUCCUUUGAGAAAAGACUUAUUUUCUUCGUUCUGCUGUUAUCGUGCAUACAUAUAAGUGUGCGGUUUAUAUUCUUGCCUGAAGUUAGUUGAAGUAUAUCUGAAGUGGAGCUGUAUGUCACUUCCUCUUUUUUGUUUUUUUGUUUUUUUGUUUUUCUUUCUCGGGCUUAUGUCUGGAUCCUUUCUUUAUAAGACCUUUUUUUCCCCACUGUAUAUUGUUGGCCACAUUAAUUUCCUGUUAUUCUUGUUCAUCUCAUACAUAUUUCCUCCUGAGGGUGCUCUACUUGUUACACAGUUGUCUUGUAGAAGAUUAAUUUCUCUUUAUGGCUUUGUUCUCCUCUUUCUUCGGUUUUGCAAUUUCCUUUAACUAAUUGUUAAAAUGAAUUUGUUACUGAUAAAGUGAAGCAUUGGUUGGGUGGAAGAGUGCAUUAUGAGUAUGUGGGAGGUUGUGGGUUCAACCCCCCACAACAACAUUUCAUUUCCCUUUUUUUCGUUUAAAAAAAAAAAGAAAUUGUUACUGACCCAGAAAGGCCUUGUGUUGAAAUUGAUGAGGGUAGAAAUAAAACAUGUUCAUCAACAUGCCUCAAUGCUACAUUUCUAGACAGAAAUGAAGUUCUACAUACCGUGAUGCUCCAAUGAAGUCCAUUCUUGUAUUGUGCUGCACAUGAGGCAAGCCUUAUACUGUAUUUUUUUUGGUGGGGGGCACAGUGGAAGUUGGUUAUAAAUAAUAAUCUAACAUUUAUCUUGGCUUUCUUGUUUGUGUUGGCAAUGUUGAUGCCUCAUGUGAGGCUGGGGGAGUUUUUGGUCUAAUCCUUGAUAUUACUUUUUGGCUUUUUUUUUUCUUUUUCUAGUGGAUCAUGGUUGCUUUCUGGAAAAAUGGCAAAGAUGCUAUUAAUUGACUGUGAGCAGAAUGAUGGUGACUGCUCAUUGACUAUAUCAGGUAUAUUUUGUUGUAUGAUUCUUUUUGCUUUCUUACGUUCUCUUUGUAAUUUUGUUUUAAAGUCUUACAAUUUGUUAAUGUACUUUUGCUGGUAUAACAUCAUCUAGUUUGUUGGGCUUUUUUUACUUUGUACUAAAUUAUGUCUAUAUACACAAUAAUAUAGGAAACACUGAUGUUUCGUUGUUUUUCAUUUUUUUAUCUUAGUUUUCUGCCUAGUUGUGUUUCAAAAUUUCAAAAUUUCUGUGAUCUAUUCCAUGACAUGGAUGGUUUUAAAACCUUGCAGUGCUGGACUUCACUGUACAUCUCAUGGACACAGGACUGAAAAAUGAUGCUGUCUUGGCUUUAAUUGUUUUCUGUAUUCAGUAUGUUCUUGUUAACCAUGAAUACUGGAAAUACAAGGUGAAACAUACUCGUUGGAGAGUAACAUUGAAGGUACAUCCUUUGGUUUCUCUUAUGCUGCUAUUGUGACAAAAGUUGGUUCUAUUUUUGUUUUACUUUAAGUUUACAACAAACUUGAUUCCUGUUGGGGGGUAAGCUUUUUGUUUUUUGUAUAACUAGCUUAAAUUCUGAGCUGGUCCUAAUUAAUAGGAUUGCCCUAUAAACCAUCAGAAACAGAGAAAAGUUGAUAGUUCCAUACAAGGUACAUACAGGAGAGUAACUUUAUAUUUUCUUGGCAAAUUAUAUUUUCUUAGCAAUUAUUAUACUACCAUAUGAGAUCAAGUCCUUUUGCUCUGCAUGCAGUUGCUGUCUUAUGUGCUGUGUCCUAUUGGGAUGACGAGUCUGGAUAUGAGUCAUGUGUCUUUUAAAUAUCUUUCUGAAAAUUAUGAAUGAGAGCACAGUUAAAUAGGAACUCGGCUUUGUUAGGGAAGUUGUUGUGGAGCUUUCCUUUGGAAAGAGAAUCUCUUUGGUAUGUUGUCAUUCAAGUUAGGUUUGGCAUUGAUGCCAAUGUGUGAGGCUUUAAUGUGGUGGCUGGAGGUUCCAAUUGAAGUCCUUGGAAUGACAUUUCAUUGGGAAUUAGGUAUUUUCUUCAUAAUCUUCAGUUAUUUGUGGGAAAGGGAGAAAAUUAGUUCUUAGGGAGAUAAUUAGGUUGGGGUUCUUCCUUUGUGCUUUUUAUAUCUGUGUCUACUACAUGAUGUGCAAAUUACCAAUCUUCGGCCUCCUAUAUUCCAAUGAGCUGGAAUUUCAAUUACUGGAGAAAUUUGAAUGAUUUUCAAAUGGGUAAGCUUUGUUCAUUAGUAUCUGCGGUAGAGAUUAUCUCCUUGUGUCCGUUCUGAUAAAAGGUCUUUGGCCAAUUGAAUCUUCCAGAACUGUUGAGUAGAUAGCAAGCUGAUAUAGAAUUUUUGUACCUUCAGUGGAUUACUUGUUUGCUGUAACUGUAGUACUAGUUUCACGUCAUUUUAAUAGUGUUAUUCUGUUUCUUAUCAAAGAAAGGAAAAGAAAAGAAGUUUAAUUGAAAGCAUCAUUUUCAAGACUAUUUCUAGGAUGAUACAACAAAUGAGCCCAAAUAGGCAAGCUUGUAAAGAAUUCAUAUCCAAAAUUUUGUCUGCUUCAGUGCUUGGUAGGGAAUCAAAAUGUGUGCAUGUUUGGCUUCUUGUGGCUAGUUAAUAUUCUCUAUUAAUUGGUUGUCUAAUUUAUUAUAUACUUGGCCUAACUGGUAUUGUAAAUGUAGAUUAUGCUGGGAAGGUGAAUUUUAAUAUCCUUUACUGUGUCAGGUGCUUGAAGUGAUGAAAAAAUGUAUUACAUCAAUAUCAUGCUCUGAAAAGUUGGAUGAAGUCAUCUUGGAUAGGUUACUGUCUGAUUCUUCCAUCCAUAGUACUCUCUUUCGGAUUGUUUGUACAACUACAGAAGCAUUAGAGGUGGGCUAUGCUGUGUAUCUUAUGAUCUUGUUUAGUCACAACCUGUUGUGAUUUUGUUCUAAUCACUAAUUUGGGGACAUUUUUCUGCAGAGACUUUAUAUCAGCUGGCAUCCGACAGAGAUUGAAGGUUUUGAGAUGGCUAUAUGUUCUGUUUUAGAUAUUCUUUUCAUAAUCCUCUCCAAAUUUUCUAAGGUAUGCUUGGAAGUAAGCAUGUGGAAUUGGCAUUUUGAUUGGCAUGGUAUAUGUUACAAUUUUUUUAUAAUGCUAAAUGUAGUGAUCUACUUCUGUUUAAAAGUGAGUUUUCUGGAGUCUGUGUAGAGACCAACUUUAUGUAUCUGUGAUGGAUAUUUUCCUUUAUUUGUAAUAUGGUGGUUGGUUUUAAGCGUUGUAUUUUUAUUUAAUACAAAAGUUGAUGUUCAGCUUUGUGUAUUUCCAGGAUAUAUCUUCCAGCCCUCCAUUUUUUCACCAAGCAGUCUUCUCAUCUGCAACAAAACCAAUUCCUGUAGUUGCAGCACUUGUCUCCUUGAUAUCUUACUUUCGCAAUCCUGUAUGGCCUUUCUCCAUUCUCAAUUGUUAUUGACUUUAUUCUUUGCUUUACAUUUGUAAACAGUACAGUUACAGGGUUCUCCCUUUUUGGUUAUUGUGUAUCUACAUGUAUAUCAUCAAAGUAUUAUUGGGAUAGUUCCUCAUUGCUUGCCUCAAUUGUCUAAUUGUCCAUAUAAUUAUUGUUUUUUGGUGAAUUGCAAUGCCAAUUUGUUUCUUUUUUUAUACUUAUUACAACACUUCGAUUCAUAAGAAACUUAUAGUUGCAUUCAAUGGUUUUUAAGCCUUACUCUAAGCUUUGGGCAUGAUAGGCGUAAUGUUAUUUCGUUUAACCGUCGAACUAGCAUGCCCUACAGGAUAGAAUAUGGCAUUGUGCACAUCUUAUGUACAUUUAAUUACACAGAAUUGUAUAGACACUAAAUAAGUCGGGAAUGUUAAUCCUUUGUCACUACCAAAUAAUUCUAAGUGGUAUUCUUUUUGUCUUGGUUUUAUUGACGGUAUGUCGGAUAAUAUUUCCAUAAUUGUUGAGUAUCUUUAUUAAGGUUCUUGAGUUUUCUGUGCAGGGAAUACAAGUUGGUGCUGCUAGGGUUUUAUCAGCGUUCUUGAUGAUGGCAGAUUUAAUGCAACCAUAUUUGUUUGGUAGCAGCUUCGGUCUGGAUGAUAAGCAGGUUUGGUGUGUUUACAUUUAUUUUUUAGUUCCGUGUUAAUUUCUUGUAAUUUCAGUUGAAUAAAUCAACUGCUUCUAAAUCUGUUUGUUGCUGCUACACUGUUGUAGAUUGGAGAUCUGAGGCAGUGUGUUAGUUACAUACUACUUGAGCAGUCGGAAUGGAAUGAAGAUCUCUUUGUUGCUGUAGUCAAUCUCCUCACUUCUGCUGCUCGUUAUCAGGUUUGUUAUUGUAUGGUAUCAAGUUCUGUAUUUUAUUGUUUGAGUUUCACUCACAAAGUUAGGAAGUAAUGUUUGAAUGCUAGUGGUGUUCAGUUCCAAAAAAGAAAAAGAAAAGAAAGAAUGCUAAUGGUCCAUUUCUUCCAAUUUUAAUUUAAGCCAUCUUGACAAUUGUUUGAUUAACGGCUCCAAAUUUUUUUCCUUUUUCAUUUUCUUGGAAAUGAAACACUUUUAAAUUCUGUAAUUAGGUGCUUAUAUUUCACAGAUAUUUGGUUAGAUUGGCGAGCACAAUGUAUUUGUUGUGUUUUCUGUUGGGUCUGUUUUAGCACUAGAUUGUCCACAUAUUUUUGUUCUGUUUCUAUGAAGUGAAUGUCUUGUCCAUUAUACUUGUACUUUUGUCAUUUAAUCCUUAAAAAUCUCUCUUUUAAAAAAAGAAAACAUUGUAUGUGUGUGUGUGUAUACAUAUGGUGGCAAUUUUAGUGCCUUUCAUUCUCAAGGCAAACUUUGUGUGGUUAUAUUGCUAGUCUUUCAUUGGAGUUUUGUGAUCUAUACAGAUAACAUUUCCUCCACUUAUUAAAGCGUUUGACUUCAAAGUAGUAGAACUAGUAGCGUUAUUAGCUGUUGAAAAAGCCAAGUUUAGCUGGGUACUUCCACAGACCUGUUACUCAUUGUUAAGCCAAGGGUUAGGUUUUGGUCUUCUAUGUAGGCAUCUGUGUCAUCUGAGUUCAGGGGUAUUUCUCUGUCUGAUAUUCUUCUAGAUAGAAGGGCAGUUGUUAAUAACUCAGCUGUUAGAUUUGUCUGGAUCAGUGGUACUGUAGUUUCUUAUGUUGUUUGAGGUGGACACCUUCACAGUAAUGUAUUGUUGAUUCUGAUAAGUCGAAGUAUCUUCUUAAAAAUUAGCACUUUGGGCAUCUAGUACAAAUAUACUUUUUGAUGCAGUCAAGGCAACUGAGCCUAAGCUACUCCUUAAUGAAAACAGGAACAAAGCUCUGGCAUUCAAGCCAAAGUUGUCUGGUUUACUAGAUCUUAGGUCGUCAGUGACCUGGUUAUGGCCUUUUUGAAAAUGAUUUGGUUUAGCUUUUUCUGAUUGAUUGUUUAUUCAUAUACAGCCUGCUUUUCUUGUUGCUGUAUUAUCCACCGAAGUGAAAAGGGAUGUUCAACAGAGUAAUGCUGGUCAUGUGAAGCUGCCAACAAAUGAUGUUACCUUCAGGUCAUCUGAGUGUGAAAAAACAAGUAUUGUGGAUGCAGUUCUGUAUCAAAUUGAAAGAUCUAAUGAUCUUAUCAACAGGUAUUUUGUGCUCAAUGGAUCCUUAAUUUGGUUUCUUAGUUAGUUCUUUCAUCAUUAUCCUGCAGUCUUGAAAUUUAUGCCUUUUUCUCUCAUUUUCUUAGUUCCUUUUUUUAAAUCUGCAGCAAUCCCCGAAUACUGCUGAAUGUUCUUAACUUUCUAAGGGCACUGUGGCAAGGUGCUGCUCAGUACACUAAUAUUUUGGAAUGCCUGAAAAGCUCCGAAAAUUUCUGGAAAAAAUUGUCCAGUUUUAUUUCAGUAAUUUCUAGUGUAGAAGCUCCUUCACCUGAAAAUAUAACUGAGACAGAAGCUCAAGAUUUGGCUUUCAGAUAUCAGUGUCAAUCUGCCAUAUUGGAAAUAAUGGCACAUGACAUGUUUCUGCACAAAAAGCUAUUACAUUUGGAGACACUUGCAAAAGAAGUGCCUGAAUCACAAGACAGGAUACAAAAUACAGUAAGAUUAGAAAAAUCAAAAGCUUCAGAUCUGGUGGAUAUUUUAUCAGCCUGGUGUAGGAGCUCUGUUUUGGAUAAUCUUACCAAGUCACUUUCUUAUUGUGAAUAUGACCUCAAGUUGUAUUUACGGGCAAAGGUGACUUCUAUUCUGGAAAUUUUUACUUCCUCUUACAUGUGGAUUAUGUCUGUUGUUUCGGUCGCUGGUUUUUUCUUCAAUUUGGUUGGUUAGUUGUCACGUAUCAUCUCAUCUUCACUCAUUCUUUGAUUUUUGUUGGUUGUUUAAUGUUAUGUAAGUUCACUGCUCAAUUUGGUUGGUUUCAUCUCAUUUAGUUUCUGCUUAAGUUCACUGUUCAAAGAAACAAUCAUCCUCUGUAUAAGAACGUUUCUCACCUAUACGUUACUCUGUUCAAUCUGUGCUUUAUGACAUACAUUAGUAUUAAACUAUUAAUAAAGCGGUUCCUUGAUAGGAUGUGUACUGUAGACCUUUCCCAAUAGUUUCUUAAUUUUUAGAAUUUUUAGAAUGCAAUAAUCGUAGCUGUAACUUCACAGGUUGCUGCGAGUGUAAUCACUGCCCAUGUGAUGGUGAACUUAGCAAAUGGUGAUGCAGGAAGUGUGUCUGUGUCAUUACUUGAGAAGUCCAGCAUCCUGUCAAAUAAGGUUUGAUCCUUUCUUGAUUGUAUUACUUAAUUCGUAACUAAAUAUGAUUGUAUGCUGAUAAACCCAUUAAGAGCUCAGUUUAAUUUCUAAUUUCAUCAAUUCUCUAAUUUAAUACUUUCCUUAUAGUAUUGAGAUUGUAAAGUUUGCAUCAUAUCUGAUUGUUAUCUUUUUUCUUUCCCUUCAUUGGCAGUUCAGAAGUCUUCCUGCUUUUUCUGAAUUGUUAGCUCAAUACUCACAGCAUGGUUACAGGUAAUAUGUGUGUUAUUGUUAAUUUCUGUUGGAAUUUCUAUGUUUAACUGUGCACUUCUUGUGCGAAGCAUUUGUAUGUCUGGAAACUGAUAUUAUACCCUUCCCUGAAGAUUCUGGAUUUUUACAAGUGCUCCUUCCAGUAAAUGUAUUCUUAUAGUGAGAAAACAGUUCUUCCUAUGAUAUGAUUGAUAUGUGAAACUUUAGUUUCGAGUCCUGGAAGUUACCAGAGUAUAAAGUAAGGAUUUAAAUACAGAACCUUGGAAGAGGUAUCUGAUGCUUUGGUCAAGCAGUACUCUUGUCUCUUGCCUGUGUUCAUAUUCCCUGUAUGUCGGUUGACUACUGAUUACCAGUCCAUUUUCUGGUUUCAAGAGUCAUGUUUGGCUCUUUUUGUGUGUGUGUGGUCACCUCCGUCCAUGUGCAUGUAAGUUGUAACAGUGAUUCUUCAUGUUGUUAUCACCUUAUAUGAUGGGCAUCCCCCAUGACGUGCUGUUGCUUGCCUUAUUUCCAUUGACCUUGAAGUUGAUCUGUUUUCUAGCCUUUGACAGACCAUCUAAGUGGUGACAUGUAACCAUUAGUUUGGGUGGAUUCAAUUUGCAUAGGGUUUAACAGAUAAUUUGAUCUGUAGUUUAUUCUGUUUCACAUAUUGAUCUUUUAAUUACAUAUGUUAUCUCUCAUAUGAAUUUGUUGAGAGUUUUAUCCCACAUCGGGAAAUGGAAGCAAUAAAUGACACAUGUUGUGCAUUUGGCUGCAUAUGAAGAAUUUAUUAUCUUUUUCCAGUGCAGGGAAGGAGCCAAACUAUUUGAUUCUCAGUGAUCUUUAUUAUCAUCUACAAGGAGAGCUUGAAGGCCGUGAAGUCAGUGCUGGACCAUUCAAAGAACUCUCUCUGUUCCUUAUAGAAUCAAAUGUUUUUCAGAUUUACCAACAUAAAUAUGAUGCUGAUCUUUUUGUAACCGGAAAAGAUGCAUACUUGUUUGAUCUUAAACGUGUACGAGCUGAUUUGGGGUUAGAUCUUUGGGAUUAUUCAAAGUGGAAGGCAUCAAAGGCGACUGCAGAAACAAUGUUGAAUCACAUGAAGGCUGCAAACUCAAUGGCGUUGCUUACAAGUUCAAAGCUUUCUGCACUAAGAGCAUUAAGAAGUGUCUUGACUGUGUACGCGGAUGAUGUGAGUUCUCUCUUAGACUUUGUAAUUGCUUUAAGUUGCGUUUUCAUAGUUAGAAAUUCGAUAUCUGUAGCUGCUUUUUAUGGUUCAAGAUAUUUUAAGGAUCAUGUAGAUGUAUAUAAUGGUUUAAAAUACUUUAAAUUUAAUGUUAGUUAUAAAAAAAAAAAAGUUGAUGUCUAAUAUUUCAAAUAUCUGAUUUCUCAUUUCAAAGUUUUUGAAAGUUAAGCAGUAUUAGUGAUAGCUCAGUUGAUGAACACUGUGCUGCACCUAUGCCAUGUCUAAUUAGGGUGCCGAAGAAUGAAGUAAAAACACUAGGACCUAGAGCUAGAGGUUCAACCCUCAUGAUAUAUCAAGUUUCCUAUUGUCAAAACCGGGUAUGAAUGGUAAAAGCAUUUAAUUGUACCUGAGGAAUACUGAUUUUAUUUUGAAAUACUCCGGUAACUUCUAUCCAUUUUCUAAUGAGUGACGAAGUCAUUGCAUUCCAUCUAAUCAAGAAUACGAUACGAAAAACUGAGUUGUUGAGAUUUUUACAUAUAGUGAAGGCCCCAAUAUUGUGUUGGAAGAAAUCACAUGAUCUAAGCAUCCUGCUUUCAGCAGUGGGCAUCUAAAUGCUGAUUAGUGUGGUUUGUGGGCUGUUGUAUGGCUUUAUUUAUCAUGGUUUUUUUUUUUUCUUGCUUUAGAAAAUGCCUUAUUCUUUUUUGAAAUUAAUUCACGUGUACCUGCUACUGCAGUCACUGGAGACGAAAAGUACAGCGAAAGAGAUCUCUGAUCAACUUGUUUUCUCAUGCAUCAAUCACAUAUGCCAGAGCUUCCAUGACACAGUAGAAUCAUUGGCUUCAUUACCUGGUGCUCCUGAAGAUAUCUUUCACUACCUUUCAGCUCAAGCAGAGUUGCUUCUCUAUCUUAUGAUGUAUGCACAUAAAAGCCUGCCUUUGUCUGUUUGCAUUCUUGUACUAAAAACAUCAGGUUCUGGCCUUAAAGUGUUGAGUGAUUUCAGAGCAUUAGUUACCGGGCCAGCAGUUAUGGGGGUUAACACUACCGUAAAGCUCUUGCUUAUGUUGCUUCUCUCGGCGGUGGAGUUUAGUUGUCGUAAGUCACAUUUGGUUGGGGCAAGAGAUAUAAUAUCUGUUGAAGAACUGGCUAAAAUAUCUAACGUGAGUCUUGGUCUACUACCAAUUCUCUGUAACUGUAUGGCUAUUGUUGAGCAUGGCACCCUCUCCCUAACUACUAUGGACUUGAUACUGAGAAAUUUCUUAACUCCCAACACUUGGUUCCCCAUUAUACAAAAUCACCUCCAGCUUCAGCAUCUUAUUCUGAAGCUUCAAGAUAAGAACUCACUUGACUCUGUGCCCAUUAUAAUUAAGUUCUUUUUGACUGUUGCCCGUGUGAGGCAGGGUGCAGAAAUGCUUAUUAAUUAUGGGUUUCUUUCGUCUCUGAGACUCUUGUUCGCUGAGUACUUGGAAGGUAGGUCUUCUUCCGUUAGUACUAAUAAGAGAAAUCCCAACUCAACUGAAAAAACUGAGAAGCCUCAGCAAAUUUGGGGACUUGGUUUGGCAGUCAUCACAGCUAUGGUUCAGUCUUUAGGAGACAGUUCUGCUUGUUCUGAUGUUGUGGAGAAUGUAAUACCCUACAUCUUUUCAGAGAAAGCCUAUAUGAUUUCUUACUAUCUCAGUGCUCCAGACUUCCCAUCUGAUGGUCAUGACAAGAAAAGACCUCGGGCUCAGCAGAGACAAACUUCUCUUACUGAUCUUAAAGAAACUGAGCACACUCUCAUGCUGAUGUGCGUGCUAGCAAAACAUUGGAAUUCAUGGGUUAAGGCCAUGAAAGAAAUGGACUCCCAGCUGAGAGAGAAAAGUAUCCAUCUUUUGGCCUUUGUCAGCCGGGGAACUCAACGCCUUGGAGAAUCUUCGAGUCUUAGUGCUCCUCUUGUAUGCCCUCCUAUCCUUAAAGAGGAAUUCGAUGGCUGCAAGAAACCCUCAUUUGUUAACAGUAGAAGCGGAUGGUUUGCUCUUUCACCGCUCAGUUGUGUGUCAAAACCAAAAUUUUCAGCCGUCUCUACCACAACUGCGCUGGCUAUUAAAACUCAAUCAACUGAAAAUAGUGAUCACGUAUCUCAGUCAUACUUCUCCGACACUAUUGCCCUUCAGAUAUACAGAAUUACUUUUCUUCUUUUGAAGUUCCUCUGUUUACAAGCUGAGGGUGCUGCUAGAAGGGCAGAGGAGGUUGGGUUUGUUGAUCUUGACCAUUUUCCUGAGCUUCCAAUGCCCGAAAUCUUGCAUGGCUUACAAGUAAGAUGACAAUUUUUAUUAUUUAAUUAGUUUUUAUUUUGCUAAUCUUUUAAGAUCUUGAGAUGUCUCAAGGUGUGGCUUUGAUUUGUUUAAUUAUGCAAAAAAUAUCUGGUCUUCCAAAUACUUAAAAUUAAGUUUCGAGGCGACUUUCGUUUUGAGUUGGAUAUGUUAUUUCUGAUGUAGGAUCAAGCAAUUACCAUUGUUACAGAGCUGUGUGGGGAUAAAAGAUCAAAUGAGAUUCAAAUUGAAGUGCAGAGUAUCUGUUGCUUAUUGCUACAAAUAAUGGAGAUGGCCUUGCACUUGGAACUUUGUGUUCUACAAAUAUGCGGCAUAAGACCUGUGUUAGGGCGUGUGGAAGAUUUUUCAAAGGAAGUUAAACUGUUAAUAAAAGGUGAACUCCAUUCAUUCUGCAUACAUGUUUUGUCACCUUUUUUUUAAAUGGUAGUUCUUCAACAUUUAACGAAUGGUUUUUUCCUUAUAAUGUACUUUGUAGCGAUGGAGAGACAUGCUUUCCUCAAAUCAUCUGUGAAGUCCUUGAAACAAAUAACGUCGGUUAUCUAUCCCGGAUUGUUACAGGCCGAAGAGUUUUUGUGAGAUAAAUUCUUGUGCAUAUAGGUGAAAACUGAAAACUGUAGGCUUUGGAAGAAAAAUGUAAAAACUAGUGUGUAUUGCUUACAUCAAUGGCUUUAGAAAUAUUCCGCAGGCUUAUAAAAUUAUCCCAUUCCUUUCAGCCAUUCCUUUUGUAUAUAUUUUCUUUUGAGAAAAGGUUGUGGCUCUAUGAUUGAGAAGAUUUCUAAAAUCCGUGGCAAUUCAUGAUUGUCGCGUGAGAAUUCCCUUUCCUUCACUUUCCCAAGCAAAAGGUCCCUUAUAGGUAUUAGAUAUCUAUCAUUGCUUUUAUGCAUUAGUGGGACCUAUGAUUUCUUCAUAGUGAAAUGCAUGUAAUUUUCAGAUCCAAUUCGAAUUUAAUAAAUUACUUUAGUGUUUAGGGUAGUCGCUCUCGUGGGUGACUCUCGGUUGUUGAUGCAUGUGCAUUAGCGGGAUGUGAUCACCCGUAAGUUCGUAAGCAACUGUCCGUAGCAUUUCAUAAGUCUACUUUCUCUCCAUGUUGUUGCAUCCCUAUUCUCGACCCAAAGAAGAAAGAAAAAUUGAUGGCACCAACGAAAAGAAUUUUUCCGGUCCCUACAAAAAAUGGCAUAUGAUCACAAGUUCUGAGCUCCAAGCUCCAUAACCCAUAUACCCAUUGUUUUGCUUAUGAAUGAUGAUCUGUCAAUUGGAAGAUAAUCAGAAGGUGAAUCCCCACAACUUUACUAAAGUAAGUGUGCUUCCUCUUUUAGAGAAUAAUGAUCCUCCAGGACUAUAUGAUUUCACUGAUUUGUUGAUUUUUAUUUCAUAAUUAAGAAAAUUUUAUAUUAUUUUCCGCAUGGAAUAAAGAGCAAAUUAAAUUAAUUAAUCCAAUGGUUGUCAUUCGUCCUUCAAUCCACAUUUCCUAAGUUGGACCAAGUGAACGGGUCCAAUUCAUGGAUCGAUGGACCGGGCAUCCAUCCAUGAUCCAUGGAUACAUAUAUAUUUAUUAAUUUAUUUUUCCUUCGGAAAAAUAAAUAAUAUAAAAAUUAGUCCUCAUGAUCCGUAAUUUAAGAUCUUUUUGGCUUUAUGUGUAUGUCGGCAUCUGAAUCCUUGCGAAAUCCAGACCGUUGGAUCUGCGUCAGAGGGUAAGUAAAAAUCAGUAAAAUUGUCAGUGUUUCACCUUUUAUUUAAUACCAUGUGUGCCAUCCAAGUGUUUACCAAAUCCACAACGUGGUCCAAACGGUGUCGUUUAUUUCCCCCAAAAAGUCCACGAACCCUAAUACCCUAUCCGAAUAAUGACAAGCAUAUACCAGUACACAACCACUUCACUCAGCCUCGGAUCCCAAAACCUAACCCUGGUUAAAACCCGACCCAACCACGGUUAACUCAUACCCCGUCAGAUUCAACCCACGUGCCUUCAUCCAACGGCUGAAAACAACUUGCCAUAGAUAUUCACCUCAGAGGCCCUUUUAUAAACCCCUUGUCCUCGUGACCUCGUCCACGCAUCGCAAACCCUAAGCAUCAUCACUCUCGUUUUCCUCAAAUCUCUUCGUGAACGAUCCAAACAAAACCUCGAAAUUCUCAUCAAUGGCUUCAAACCCUAAGGUCUUCUUCGACAUGACGAUCGGAGGCCAGCCUGCCGGCCGCAUCGUCAUGGAGCUCUUCGCCGACACCACCCCCCGCACCGCCGAGAACUUCAGGGCUCUCUGCACCGGAGAGAAGGGCGCUGGCCGCAGCGGCAAGCCCCUGCACUACAAGGGCUCCUCCUUCCACCGAGUGAUCCCAGGGUUCAUGUGCCAGGGAGGUGACUUCACCGCCGGAAACGGCACCGGAGGCGAGUCGAUCUACGGCGCCAAGUUCGCCGAUGAGAACUUCAUCAAGAAGCACACCGGACCUGGAAUUCUGUCCAUGGCCAACGCUGGUCCCGGGACCAACGGAUCUCAGUUCUUCGUCUGCACGGCCAAGACCGAGUGGCUCGACGGCAAGCACGUCGUGUUCGGUCAAGUGACCGAGGGGCUCGAUGUUGUGAAGAACAUCGAGAAGGUUGGGUCGAGCUCCGGCAGGACCUCCAGGCCAGUGGUGGUUGCUGACUGCGGCCAGCUCUCCUAGACGAGUCCGUUUACUCGGUGCUCUGACGAUGAUGGAAACGUCAUCGUUUAUCUCUCUGUUAUUAUGAGUCGGUCUGCCUUUACUUUUUCGAAUUUCGGUUUUUAGUAGGCUGGGGUCUGAUUAGGGUUUGGUUUAUGGACCUUAUUAUUAUCACUAUGGUCGUCUUCCUUUUUUUUUUGGAUGUCUAAUUGCUCUGCUGUUUCUGAUCUGAGACUCUUAUUUUGUGAUAAACUGAGCUGUUAUCCUUAAAUAAAAUAGGUUUUAUUCUCCAAUUGUUUAUCUUAUUUUCUUUAUUUUUCAUUUCAAUUUUUUAUUCUAUAAUUGCCUAAUGCCUCUAAGUAUUAUUGUGCUCGUGUUUCAUCUUAAGUGAUUAAAAGUAUAUUUAUUUAUUUAUUUCGUAUUCAAUUUAUUGUUGUGCCCGCAUUUGAUUUAAGUCAAGUGUGAUUAAGAGCGUUUAUCUUAUAUUAUUGAUUAAAAAUUAUAUAAAUAUCAAAUGUAAAAGAAAAGGUCAAUAAAUGGGAAUGGUCAAAGUUAUACCUAUUUAUCCGAAUAUUUCCUGCCAAGUCGUUUUGGGAUAUUUUGGGCCACUUGGGAUUUUAGGCCCCGUUGAUGCACCCUUGGGUUUGGACUGAUCGGCUUGUUGCUACUUUUUGUAAACGUGUAAUUUGUUGUUUGCUAUCUUUUUACGCUUGUGUUUUCAAGAGAGAGAAAAUUUGGAUUUGUAUAGUGAUGGAUAAAGCCUUUGUGAUUCUUGAGCCACCACCACUUGCCGCGUAUGUGGCAUUGUACAAGGGAAUUUUGUGUGCAUGCGUUUUCUGUUUUCUUUGCAUGAGGAUAUGCUCUUCUCAUUCCAAAAUUUUAUAUUUUUGUGGUUCUAGAAAGAAAAGAAUUUUGUUUAGUCAUCGUAUGUGUUUUGCGUUCCUAUAAAUCUUUGGUCACGUCGCCUCAUCAUCCAGUUUGUUUGAUGCCCGGCUAACCUCACAAAAGUUUUAUCUUUGGUUAUGUCAACUCAUAAAACAAAGAUAUUCCCGUUUCACAUAAGUUUUUCUCACACUCAACGUCCUCGUUGGAUUUGCUUAGUCGCUUUAGUGGGCCAAUGAAGUAGUGACUUAAAAAAGUAUUUAACUUUGGUUAGCGUAACAAACUCCCUUAACAUUAGAACCAUUUACUCACAUCACAGCCAAAUUAUCUAGACAAAGAGGCAAAAUCUUCCAACUAUCUCCAGGAUUCAUAAACAAAGCAUCUCCUACAUUAUAGGUUCGCUUAACGCAGUCCCCAAGGCCCAAUGGGAUGAUCUUCAUUCCACAACUUGAAAAGGUUUUUUCAUUCCAAUGGGGGAACUGUUCUUUCCUUGAUCGAAAGAAAAAGGUUCAGCAAACCUUAUUAAGAAAACACUGACUACAAAACUCAUCAGCCUUGGCAGGCUAAGAGAGAUGAAGAUAUUGGGUAUGAGGUAGUAGAAGAAUUUGUCACGUGAGGAGAGAGAUAUAGAUUAUUGUAUAAGAAGUUCCUUCCUCCAACGUUGUAUCGGCAAAACCUAUGUUUUAGGAUGCAUCUUAAUUAACCUUCCUCUAACAUUGUACAAUUAGGAAGCUUCCUUCUCCUUGGCUUUGCCCCCCUUAGCUUUCUGCCGAUGAUUUACACUUGAUUCAUUGUCUUAUUGUCCUUAAUGGAAUUCUUCAUAAGGUUAAAAUUGUCAAACAGUAAAGUACAUCUACAAAUUAUAUGGAUAGUUUCCAUUCAAUACCUGCAGAUUUUUUCUUUUUGUAAUAAAUGAAAUAGGGGAAAAAACCAAAUAAUUUUGGGAUGAUGCGCAUAUAUCUAAAUUUGUUAAUAUUUUUUUCUUCUCAGCUUUUCAUAAAAUCAAAUAUAUGAUUUGUGCUAUUUGUUUUACUAUUUUCAAGAAAAAAAAGAGGGAGACAGAAAAAAGAGACAUUUCUCUCUCUUUCUCCCACAUCCCAACCCCACCCGCCCCAAAACACAUCGCAUAGGACCCCACUCUCCCCACUUAUCUCUAUAUCUGUUUCUCUCUCACAACAAAUUUUCAAUAUACAAAUGGAAAAAUACCAAAAAGAAAAAAUAAUAAGAAAAAGGCAGAGUCGGAUUGGGUAGGCUGAUGAAAUUUGUGUGUGAAGGGUUGGUGUUCCAUGGUUGAGAAAGAAGGAGGAAGGGACUGCGAAGAGGGAAGGGGGAAUGGAUUUCAAGGUGGUUGGAGCCGGGCCACAUAUGGGAUGGGGGAAGGUGAGAAUUUUUUUUAAAUACAAUUUUUUUAUAUAAUCAUUUUUCCAUUUUUAAAAUACUCUUGAAAAUGGAAAGACUGAAAUACCCUUUAAAAUAGCUGAAAAAUUGAAUGGUGUUAAACCUAGAUGACAAAUAAUGGAUUUUGAAAAAUUAAAGUGAUAUUUUUCUUAAAUUUUUCUUUAAUGUGACAAAUUAAAAUUGAGGUAUAAAUUCAGGUGACAUUUCUAAAAAAUAAUACACCUCCAUCGAUAAUGUGAGAAUUACAAGAGCGCAUGAGUAACGCUUUUUAUAAAUGAUCAACUACCUAAUGCAAAUGUAAAAUAAAAUUCUUUAGAUUGAAAAUUGUGCCUUGUUUUAAAUGUUUUUCUUUAAAAUUUUGGUUUAGUAUAUAAACCAAAUUACUAUCCAUAGCAGAGUAUAUUUGCAAAUCCCAUAAUACUAAUUUCUUACAUUUGACGCAGAUAAGGUCAUCCAUCAUUCUUUUUUUUUUUUUGGGGUGAAAUUAGCUAAAAUAGUUAUUUUUCAUAAAUUCUAAUAUUCUAUACUAAAAUAGCCUAUUUUGCAUUAAAGAGGUUACUAUAUAAACAAUAAAGAAGAAACUAUACGGAUAACAAAAAGACACUAUAUAAAUCAAAGCUAUUAUAGAAUAAAAGUCAUGAAAAAUGACUAUUUUUUUUUUAGCACAAACGCCUUGAUUUUUCCAGACAUGACGUGGUGCCAAUUUUAUAUUUUAUAUUUUUUUAAACUUUCCCACUUCCAAUUUUCCUAAUGUCCAAACAGCAACAGAAAGAGUUACAGAGAAAAGUAAAAGUCCAAACUCCAGGGCAAUCUUGGCGCAUAAGCUGUCAUCCCGCUGAUUCACGUGACUCAACUUUAACAACAGAAAAAUCCAAUCUACCCUGUUGCCCACGUGGCACUCUCCAGAUGAGCUGAGGGUACUAUCGUCAUUUCAAGAAAAGUAGAAAACCAUAGCCAAUAGAAUCAGAUCCCGCACAUUGGUGUAGCGAGCGCGCGAAGCACUGGAUUGUUACCUCCGUCCGUACUGCCACGGGAAGCUUCCGACUAGACGACGGGCUCAAGCGUGUUUCUUCGUGUUGAGAGAGAGAAACGAGAUCUCUCUCUCUCUCUCUGAAAGCUUCAGAGGGUGUAUUGCAAUUUACAGAGAGGGAGAGAGGUACAACUUGUUCAACUCUGGUUGGCGGGAAUUCGAAAUUCUAGAGAGAGAGAUGGGGGUGUCAGAGAAUACGAAGGGGCUGAUACUAGCGAUGGCGUCGAGCGCCUUCAUAGGCGCGAGCUUCAUCUUGAAGAAGAAGGGUCUCAAGCGCGCUGGAGCUGCCGGUACUCGAGCAGGUCAUUUUUACUCUUACAUGAAUUCUGGGUUCUAUUCUUUUAGUUUAUUUUCAAUGUCAAUGCCAUUGGCACAUUAGCAUUUCCCUUUUUUGGAUGGUUGAGGUUGGAAAUUGGAGUAAAUUACAAAGAUUUAACCAAAAGAUUCAAUUUUUGAAAUUAAUUAUGUGUUUGAUGAUUGAUAGGUUCCAGAAUCCAAACUGCUAAUUCAUGGUUUUGAUUGUUUUUUGAUUAUUUAAUAAGUUGCCAUGUGAUUGAUUUGUUGUACAUCUUUGAUUUGGGUAAUUGAAAAUCUGUGUCUUUUGAGUUGUGCAGGAGUUGGUGGUUAUACUUACUUACUAGAGCCACUUUGGUGGGCGGGCAUGAUCACCAGUAAGUACAGCUCUCUCUUUCUCUACAGAAAAUGUAUGUGACUGAAACGAUAAGUACACGUGAGUUAUUGAUAUUUGGUUUUGAAUUUUUUCAACUGGGUAGUGAUUGGUGGAGAGGUUGCCAAUUUUGUGGCUUAUGUAUAUGCUCCAGCAGUUCUUGUAACCCCACUUGGUGCACUGAGUAUAAUAGUCAGGUAAAUGCUCUUCUGUCUGAGUUCAUUUCGUUGCUGAUUUCUGAUAAAAAGAAGGUAUUGUUUAAAAGCUUUUGUUACCAACUUGCAUGUUUGUUGGAUUUGUCUAGUGCUGUUUUGGCUCACUUCUUGUUGAAGGAACGAAUACAGAAAAUGGGUAUUGUGGGAUGUGUUACCUGCAUCGUGGGAUCAGUGGUAAUUGUGAUCCAUGCACCUCAAGAGCAUAUUCUAAAUUCUGUACAGGAAAUCUGGGUUCUGGCGACCCAACCAGGUUCAUGACUUUAAACCUCAUAUUUCUUCUUCUUCUUCUUCUUCUUCAAUGCUACUUGUCUUAGAACCUUCAUUGUGUUGUCCUGAAAAAUUACUUUUUUUUUUUUUUUUUCCCACAGCUUUUCUGGUUUACGUUGCUGCUACACUUUCCCUAGUGUUAACUUUGGUUUUGCAUUUUGAACCUCACUAUGGGCAAACAAAUAUACUAGUCUACUUGGGAAUCUGUUCCUUGAUGGGUUCACUUACGGUAACUAUGCUUUUCUAGUUUGCCAAGUACAAAUAGGCACUUUGUUCCUCUAUGUCUUAUGUGUUCAAAUUGUUAGGUGUUUAGCUGUGUACCUCUGCUGUGCUACUUCAGGUUGUAAGCAUAAAGGCCAUUGGAAUUGCAAUAAAGCUAACUCUUGAGGGAGUAAGUCAGAUAGCCUAUCCUCAGACUUGGUUUUUUCUGACUGUUGCAGUAAUCUGCGUAGUUACACAGUUGAAUUACCUCAACAAGGUCAGUAUUGCGCUAUUAAUUUUGGUCUCUUUCUCCGAGACUAUCAUCAUUGGCGUUUUAUGUGCUGACUAGCCGUUUUGUGCUAAAAAUCUGUGCCCCACCUGCACUGCCUAUUCAGCAUUUGGUUUCUCAGAUUCUGAUUUGCCCAUUUGUUACAUAUUGACUCCAAUGAGUUCCUAGCCUAUAAAGGAGGGGACAGUAAUGCAUUCUGCCUCUGUCAUAUAACUUGUAAAUAUAAUAACACUGGAUCAAAUCUCAAGCACACAGUAUUUCCAUUGUAAUAAGUUUGGAAAUUUCUCAAAAUCUGAAAAUUUAGUUAUUGAAAUUGGAAAGUAAGUUUAAGUUGGUCUACUUUAUUUAAAAAUUGAACUUUAAGUAUCACGUGCUGCUUAGACAGUAAUCUUGUUAGUACUUCAAUUCAGCCAUCUUUUAACUCAGACUUUCAUGGACUUCAAAUUAUAAUAAUUACCUGCUGAAUCUCACAUCAUUCAAGUUCAUGGCCGCUUUGUUUCAGGCUUUGGAUACAUUCAAUGCAGCAAUUGUUGCCCCAGUAUAUUAUGUGAUGUUCACAACUCUGACCAUUAUUGCUAGUGUAAUAAUGUUCAAGGUAGAUUGCUUGAUCUAUAUACUGUGGUUUUCUUCUGAUGCCUUUAUUGGUUGUUUUCAUGCAAUUACAAAGACUUGGGAUUCUGAAUUUCCCGUUGUUUUCUAUGUUCAAUGCAGGAUUGGUCUGGUCAGGAUGUAAGCAGCAUAGCCUCUGAAAUAUGUGGAUUCAUCACUGUUCUGUCAGGAACUAUCAUACUCCAUGCAACCAAAAAUGAGGAAACAUCUACACAAGGUAUACAUGGACUUUGCAUCCUUCUAUUAUCUGGGAUUUGGGGUUUUUAUUAUCUCCUUUAAAUUCAGAUCAACAUGACAAUUGAAAAUUCUUAUAAGAUGAUUGAGAAUAAAACAGAUGCAUGUUAAAUUUGAUCCCAAGAGACCUUCAUUUUCCUCUUGAUCAGGAUACUAAUUUACAAUGUUCCAUGCCUACUCAGUUGCAAUCCCAUCAUUAAGUAUUGGUUAGACUGAGGGGCAUAUUUACACUUAUGGUUGGCUGUAACAUUUACUAUCUUUGCUUAUGGCUGCUUACAGUAGUUUUUCUUUUCAUAGCAGGAACUGUAACAUGGUACAUUAGAGAUUCAAUGAAGGGCUCUGAAGAUGAACGUUUGCUCACCUUACACAAUUCAGAUUAUCCUGAACCGUAACCCUGCAACAAUCAUCUUGGAGAAUGAAAUCCCCAGCAAUGAAGCUGCACUGCAACAAUCAUUUUGAGUAGGGGUGAGUCUUUGGGUAUCUAGCACAUUGCUCAUUACACCUUCCAAAUACCCGUUUACUCCUAUUCAUUUAAAAGAAAUUGGCCUCCCCUCCCCUCCCCCAGUUGGACAUUUCCAUGGCCUAAGACCAGCCAUAGCUAGUCUUUUUUUUUAUAUAAAUUCUUUCUUCUUUUUGGAUAUGAAAUGAUUUGGGAUAUAAUGAAAAAGUAAAUGAAUUUUUUUAGGGACAGGUUGCAGCAAUGUGUUGGGUGCCAUUAGCCUCACUUUGAGUAGUGUUUGUAGUGUUGGGUGCUCCCGGUUUCUUCUAGACAGACCUUGGGGCUUUUAGCAGAUUGCAAAAGUUACUUUUUAUGUGCCUUUCUUCACCAGCCAGCAGAUGCGACCCUCAACCGGAUGCUCAAAUUAAAUUGAAGUGCGAGGUGUGGCACCACUCUCAAUGCUAAGUUCUGAAUCACCCUCAGCUCGGGAAUGGUGCUGCAGUUCUGUAUCAAUACCAGUGCAUAGAGAUAUUUGUUGUGAUUUUGGCAAUGCUGAGUCUCUCCAUGGCUGCUGAUGGCAUCUGUACAUAUCGAUGCUCGGCUUCUCAUUCACUAGUUUUCGUGCAUGAUUCUUCUUGAUAUCUGAUUCAGUUUGAUUCUCUCUUUUUCUUUCUAGUUUGUAUAUAUUUUUUCUUAUAGAUGUCUUUCUAGUUUGUAUUAGUCCUUUUUUCCUUGGUUAAGAAAAUCUACAGUUCAUAUUGGGAUUGAUAGAUCAUAGAACACACAGCUGAGAGGUAUAUUUGCCAAUUAAUGGGCAAAUACUGCUUGGGAAUUGUAUAUCUUGUAUUUAACUCUUGAGUUUUUGCUUUUGCUGUCAAUGAAUUCGGUUGGUAUAAUGGCAAAUAAACUGUACACUUUAUUACACAGUAAACCAUAAAUUAUAUGAUUCAUAGAAUCUUUCUUCAAUGAUCAAAAUUUAACCUUCUUUUUUUUGCCGGGAUGUUCCAAAUUUAACUCGAAUGUUGAGAUUGUGCAAUAUUUUACUAUUUAAGCAAUGAAAUCUUCCAAAUUGCUUAGCCAGAAAAGAAAUAAUAAAUAGUUUAAUUACAAGAUAAUUUCAAAAUUAAAAAACGUGAAAUUCCUUUUAUUGGGAAAAUAAGAUUCUAGUCAUGAGUUCAUAACGUAAUAUGAUCUGAUGAUGCUAUAAAAUAAAGCCGGUUUAAGAUUGAGAGAUUUAUUAAUAAUUUGGUUUGGAUGGAUGAUUACUGAAAGCUAACCUUUUUCUUCUUGUUUUUGUUUUUGUUUUUAUGGAUAUAAAGUCGUCUAAAAGUUGUUUUCGUAUCAUAAUUCUAAUUCAUUUCUUAAGUUCUCUUAUCACUAAACUAAUUCGAAGUUACAUCGAAAUUCCCAGCUUAAUUCUAACACAUUUUUUACUAUUCAAAAUUGCCUAGUCUAAUUCUAACUCAUUUCUUACUGCAAUUAUAACUCCUCUAUAACUGAUUUACUAUUGGUAAUUAGUAAGGUUUUAGAGUUCCUCAAAAUCAUUAUUGAAAAAAAAAAAACAAAGUCAGAUUCCCUCUCCAGAUCAAAAAAGAGAAGAGAGAGAUUCUCUCUCUGAUAAGGAAAAUCAUAAACUUCAAUCUCCACCGUCGGAUCAAAUUCUCUUCCCUACCCUAUAUAUUCGUAACCCCCUCUUCGCUUCUCAACAACGCAACGCUUCGCCAAAAAAUCCAUCCUUUGCGCAAAAACAAAAGGAGAGACCUUUUCAUCGCAGCACACAGUAACCACAACCAUGGCGGCAACAGUGUCUCCUUGGGCCAAACCUGGCGCUUGGGCCCUCGCCGCCGAAGAGCAGGACGCCGAGCUCGAACAAGAAACCCAAAACGCACGACACGUCGUUGAGCCGCCCUCCGCCGACUACCCAUCUUUGUCUGUAGCCGCCACCGCCAAGCCCAAGAAGAAGAACAAGGGCCAGAAAAUCUCCCUCGCCGAGUUCACGGCCUUCGGCGCGCCCAAGCCCGUGGCCCAGCCCGAGGGCCUCACCCAUCAGGACCGCAUGCAUCUCCCGACCGGUCCGCGCGAGCGAACCGCCGAGGAGCUCGACAGGAAUCGGCUCGGCGGCGGGUUCAGGUCCUAUGGGUCUGAUCGGGGAAACAGCAGGUUUUCCAACGGCGAAGAGUCGUCGGAUUCGAAGUGGGGUUCGGGACAGAGGAGGGAAGGUGGAUUUGGGAAGGAAUCGAACCGCGAUGGGCCUUCCAGGGCCGACGAGAUUGAUGAUUGGGGCGCUGCGAAGAAAUCGACUGUGGGAAAUGGGUUUGAGAGGAGGGAGAGAGGAGCAGGAGGUAGUUUCUUUGGUGGGUCACAGUCGAAGGCUGAUGAAUCGGACAGUUGGGUAUCCAAUAAGAGCUCUGUGUCGUCGGAGGGACGGAGAUUCGGUGCUUCCGGUGGUGGGUUCGAUCGGGAGAGGAAAGUGGGGUUCACAUCUGAUGGAGGUGCUGAUUCUGAUAAUUGGGGGAGGAAGAAGGAGGAGAGUAAUGGUGGGUCUGGUUUUGAUCGAGAAAGAAGAGUUGGGUUCGUGUCCAAUGGUGGUGGUGCUGAUUCUGAGGUUUGGGGGAAGAAGAAGGAGGAGAGUAAUGGUGGUCUGAGUGAGAGUACUGGAAGGCCGAGGCUCAAUUUGCAGCCGAGGACACUGCCUGUGAGCAACGAGACCUCACCUGGGUCGACGACAGUACCGAAGUCCAAGGGCUCAAACCCGUUUGGUGAGGCGAGGCCAAGAGAGGAGGUGUUGGCAGAGAAGGGGAAGGACUGGAAAAAGAUUGAUGAGGAGCUCGAGUCGGUGAAGAUUAAGGAGGUGGCUGAGAGAGACCACUCGCCCUCGUUUGGGAAGAGGAGUUUUGGGAUAGGAAAUGGGCGUGCCGGUGAUCGAACUGAGAGAGCUUGGAGGAAGCCUGAUGUGGCAGAUGCUCGUCCCCAGAGGUUUGUUGUUUCAGUCAUAUGAUUGAUUGAUUGGGUAUAUCAAUCGCUAGUAAUUAGAAUGCUUAGUUGUAAAGUCUGAUGCCUUUGAUAUUUCUACGUUGAACUUGAUUGCAUGGAUUUUCUUAGCUAUGUUAAUUGGAAAGAUGCAUUGUUGAUAGAAUUGGUUUCAGUUAGUUAUAGGAAAGUUUGCUUGAUGGAACAGUGAAUUAGCAUAUUGGUUGUAUGUAUGUGUGUGUGUGUCUUUCAGUUUUAACCUUUUCAUAAGGGGUUUGUCAACCUUGUGGGGGAGAUGCUGAGCAUUGAUGGUUUACAUUUGUGUCCAAAAGGAAGCUUCUUGAGGUUUCUGUAUUAAAAAGAAAUUCACUUUGCCGAGCAUUACUUGUUAUCUUAUUGAUAGGUCGAGUUUUACGAAAUACUUGGUGCUCUGAUGAAUUGCAAUUCACUUUUGAGGAUUCUUUAUGCCGUGUCUUUGUUUUGCCCUCUUAUCUUCUCAUGUGAAUACAUAGACAAGUUUAAAUUGGUGGCACUGCUAUCUCUUUAUUUUUGCCCUUGGGUAAUAUAUUUCUAAUUUGUUUGAUAAAACACCCUCCUUUUUCAUUUUCAACCUUAACCUUGGGAUAUUCUGAAGGCUGCACGUUCAUCUUUAGAUGUUUUUGCAAUUUUCCCUUCUGCUGUUUGACACAUACUACUAACCCUAACCCUGGCUGCUGCACAAGGAAAAAAAGUUGUUUUAUGUAUGUAUGUGUUAAAUAUGAAUAUUGGACUAGAAGGAUCUACCUGACUUGAAUGGAGCCAUUUAAAGUUAAAGGUUCAUGUAACCAUGGAUUUCUCUUUUAGUUUUUAGGGGUUAGUAACUUGUAAUGUGUGUGAUUAGACGUGCUUUCAACUAUUUGUUGCUAUUUUCAGGGUUUGUUAAAACUCUGAAACUAAUAGUUUUCGUUCGGUGCAGUGCUGAGGAAAAUGAGAGUAGGAGCAGUUCUUUGGAACCAGAGAAUGUAUGUUGAUGAGCUUGUUGACAGUCAUGUUGACGGGCAUGCUGAUGAGCAUGCUGAUGAGAAUUGAAGAGGCGUUUUACAAGUUUGGUGUAAGCCAUGGGAAAAGAUUUUAAGUUGAGCUGUUGGAUCCAUGAGGCUGUUGAAUUUUCAGUUUCAAUGAUUUGUGUUCUCGUCUGCGACUGUAAUACAUUGAACUUGAGACAAUUUUUGUAGGAUUUUAAAUAGCUAUACUAGUUUUGCCCGUAAGGCUUUGUUUGUAUGUUGUAUUUAAGAUUGAGAAAUACUUUAACUCUAAUUAUUAUUUUUGAUCCUUAAAUUCUGGUUCACACAUUUCAUGGUUGAAGAUUUUGGUGUGUUGUGCGUUUGAUGCUUCAUGGUUUUGCCUAUGUUCUCUGGAUAAUUUAUUUUGAUGCUUCAUGGUUUGCCUAUGUUCUUAGGGUAAGGGUCAGAAUUGGCUGAACUGGAAUUAAAGUUGCCUGUAGUUUCAAGUUACUGAUUUAUAGAAUGAAUCAUAUUUGUAAGCAAGUAGACUUUUGAUUGAAUCAUUUUUAGCAUGCAUUAUUCUGCUGUAGGUUCAAAAUUUCGUUGUGAGUAAUUGAUGUUGUAAUUGUUUUGGUAAAAAAAAGAGACGAGAAAACAUAUUGCGAAGGCUUAGUUUUCGGUUUUAUGAGCAAAGAAACUAUACAGAAGUUACAAUUCUGAUGACUCGGGAGAUUCUUGAAUGUCUUCAGUCGUAUAAUAGUAAUAGGGUAGAUUUUCUCCCACAAAAUAACGAAAAUGGCACACAGUUGACUGAUUAGAUGUCACCAGUUGUACAGAUUUUAUCCACAGGACGGCAAGGGCAUUGGCUGUGAGCCAACCAAAACUAGGGUUGUUAGGGCGUGCUUCUGUAACUGCUACAGAGCCACUGUCAUAAUUGCUUCUAGUGCCAAGCACUGCUACAGUUGCUCUGCUAUGCUACAACAACAAUGCAGGUCCAUGUUACACUGGUACGGAGUUUGGUUCAUCAUCAUGGGCCAAUAUUUUAAGUCCACUCUCUUAAUCCGAGUUUGAAUCUUCCUCUCUUAAUUAGUUUAAAUUAGAAUACCAACUUGUUAAAAAGAGAAAAAACUAGACUCAAGGCUGGCCCUAGGCCAUGUUCAAAGAGUUACACUACAGAAAACAAAAGUUCACCUUCUGCGUGUGCCUAGCCUAGCAAUAUGUCAUUAGACAAAUACAUCAAUUUUUGAGUAAGUAUGGGCACGAGAAAGAGGUUUGCAGACUUGUGUGAGGUGUAGUUGAAGAGCAUUAAAGAGAAGCCAUUACUUACUUCUCUGUCAUUGCACAUUAUGAAGCUCUAUCUCCUUAUAGGCCUUCCUCAUCAAUGCCUUUGCUACUUUGACGGCCAACAAAUACCCCCCCACCAGCAAAACCUUGGAGCCUUGAAGUCAUGUUUUUGGCUACAAACCGACCCACGUCUGCAAUAAUGGCAACAUAUGGGCUUCUUGCCUUCAAAAUCUUGGGAUAGGCACUACUCAUGUCCACAGUCUCUGUUUGCGUGGCAAAAUUAUUCUAAACUAAAAACUCCUGCCCUGCAGCUGCAGUUAAAGCUACGGCCGUAGACGAAAUAACAUGUUACGGUGUGUAUACACUAUUGUCUUAUCUCUCUAAUCACAUGAUACGCCUUGCGUAUGCAUCAACUUCAAACAAUUAAUUGUUGGAUCAUGACUUGUGAUUUCAACAUUAGUUCUAAUGAAACCAAGAAUAUUAGUCUAUUAGCACCAGCCUUAAAUGCACCUCUGGUUUGAAAAUAGUGUUUCCCACACACCAUAAAGGCAGGCAGUUGAGAGUUGAAUGUAAGCAUUACUUUACCAUACUCUGUAUUAAUUUGCUUCCUCUGGGUGUUCAUCACAUUCUUAUUUUUACACCAAACCCUCUUCUUUAUUCUUUACUCUCUCUUUCUUUGCAUUUUCGUUUAGUCCAAUGCUCAUGGAUUGGCUAGAAAAGUUCAUUUUGGCAGCACUUCUCAUUUUGGCUGCAGCCAUUGAUGGAGCUCAGGCAGAUACCAUGGUCAGUGGCACAGUAUUCUGUGACCAAUGCAAAGAUGGUGAAAGAUCCCUCUUUGAUUAUCCCAUCAAUGGUGAGAUCCAUAAUCUCUAAUUAAUUAGUACUAAUCACAUUCUCCAUUAACACUCUUAAUUGUAAAUUCAUAUGCUUUUGUAUUUUGCAGGUGUUAAAGUACAAGUGGCUUGCAGUGACAGCAAUGGGCAAAUCACAAUGUCAAGGGAAGAAACAACAAAUUGGUUUGGAAACUAUGCUGUCAAGUUUGAUGGCACGCCAGAUUUGAGUGGCUGUUUUGCUCAGGUUUCAAGCACAGGGCAAGGCUCAAAUGGCUGUGGGGUUAGUGCUGGCCCUGCUCAAAGCCUUAGGCUUAUGUUUAGGAUGUUUAAUAUGGCGAUGUAUGCUGUGGACUCUUUGCUCACUCAGCCUGCUCAGCCUAUGUCAUUUUGCCCAAGGUCAGCUAAUCCGGUGGCUCCUGCACCGCCGACACCAGCUAGGCCUCUGCCUAACCCGGUAACGCCGGCCAGCCCUCCGCCUUUUUGGCUUCCGCCUCUUCCAAAAUUGCCACCAUUGCCUCCAUUGCCUCCAUUGCCUCCACUGCCCUCAUUGCCUCCAAUGCCACCAGUGCCCUUCUUGGAAGCUACAGCAUGCCCUCAUCAGUAAGUUAUUUACUGUGGUUUGCUUUGCAGUGUCUUAAGUUGUUGGUUACCUACUUUGAGUGUGGUGAGUAAAAAUUGUUUUCUCCAUAAAACUACCAUAGAGUCUAGUAUGAUCUAUUAUGGUGUACCCCAAACUGUUUUUCUACUUACCAACUAACUCUUGGUUUAGCAAUAUUUCAAUUUUCAGUGUUAAAAGAGGUUCCAAGUUUGAAUUCAACGAUUUUUCUUCUCUGACCAUUUGAUGGGGUUGUGUUUUUUCAGGCAGUGGACAUUGCCAGAGCACAAAUGCUACUGGAGGGCAGUGAGCCCGGACACAAAGGUAGCCGUUGUUUUCGGAUUGGCGGCGGCUAGGAGAUACGGGACUGACCUGACAUUAUUGCAAGGCCUACAAGGAAGAGGAGAACCUUACAGGACUCUCCUGAGGGAAGGGAUCACUGCAUUUCUCAACUCCUACAAUAGUCUUCAAUUCCCUUACAAUUCAAUUGCUGUGGUCCAGCAUUUGAAUUAUGGCUUGAUUGGCUCCAACAGAAACGUCCUCUUCACAGCCUUGCGCUUCAUCAGGGCCAAUUCAGGUUAUGGGAGAGUCCCUUGCAAAUUUACUGCUUGCAAAUGAUUUGUCUAUUUUAAAUCUAAAUUGUAUUAGACUGUGUUAAGUUUGGUUCUAUGUUUAGCUUAAACUAUGAUUAUGUAUUUUUGAUUCUAAAGAGAGAGGGAGGCCUACAGUCGAACUUUAGUUAUGAGUGCGUGGUUAUAAGUGCUCUACUACUAAAGCUAUAAGGUCUUCCAAGUUACGAUUAAACAAUUACAUUCUUGUAUUUCUUAUAUGAAUUUGUAGUUUAUCUAUAUUUUUCUUUUUUAUUUAACUAAUUAACAUAAUUUAUGAUUUAUAAGGUUUGUCCACCAUCAAUCAAAUCUUCAAUUGAUUAAGGUUUGUUCGUCAUCAUUUUCAAAUCUUCAAUUGAUUAAGGUUUGUUCGUCAUCAAUAUCAAAUCUUCAAUUGAUUAUCAUAUCUGCCGACAGAAACCAGAUUUCGUCUGGUAAGGUUAUAUAUGAAUGGUCACACAAAUCCCACAAGAGAAUUUAUGACGGUAAACUAUGUCAUCUCUAAAAUAGGGGAAAAUAAAUCAUGUCGUCCACUCAUAUUAUAACACGUGUAUAAGAUGUAUCACGUGACCAUAUUAUCUGGUAUUUUAUAAUUUCUCCAUCUUAUGAACUUCUGUUGAGAAUUGAUUGGGCUUCUGUCCAUUUCAAUCAAAUAAUAUUGAAUGGCAUUUCUACAUACUGAUCAAAACUAAGGUUGUUUAGUCAACACCAUGCGUAUAAAAAGAAAAACCCACGGUUCUCUUGCCAAGGCCACAAAAUUAAAGCAGAGCAAAAUGAAGCUCACGGUCAAGCAGGUACAAGUUCUUUGCUUUUGGGCUCUAAUUGUGCGCAUGCUUACAAUGCCCUUGCUUUUUCAUAACCACUUAGCAAAAUUCCUUAACACACAUACAUAUUUGAGAAGGAGACUGUCUGUUGUUCUCCAUUUUUUCUUGCUGGCACUCCUGGGGGCAUCAACCGUAGCGCGAUCUGUGUAGUCCGACCCAAUGGCACCCAAUAACACCUUGCACACCCCGUUUGGCACGGUUUGGGUUGUGGAUGACCCCAUUGACAGAGGGAUGUGACCUGAAAUCAAGGGUCAUUGGCAACUCUAGAGGUGUAUAUGUGUCCGCAGGUAAGCAUGAGCUAAUGCUUGUGGCUUACCUUGACUUUGGAUUUACUAGUGGCAAGUUCAAUGGCAGCUCCAUCUGUGCUUUUGAGGAACCCGGUAAGGGACGUUGAUCGGGAGUUCACUGUGGUUAGUGGCCGGGGGAAGUUUAGGAUGGCCAGAGGGUUUUGCAAGCUUAAGUGCAUUUUCUUCAAUGAGACUAAUGGUUCUAUUGUAGAGUACACUGUGGUAGUGAGGCAUUAUUGAGCUUGGUCUGUAUCUUAAUAUAAUAAAAAUAAAAAAACUCAUCAAACAUUUCCUAAGGUGCAGUGAAAUUAGAACUAAUUCAGAUUAUGGGACAAUCCCUUGCAAAUUUAUCGCUUGCAAGUGAUAUGUUUGUCUUCCAUGUGUUAUGCUUGCUUCUAUGUUUAGCUUAAACUAUAACUAUGUUUUAAUUUUUUUCAAAAUUCUAGAGACAUAUUGACUUGAUUGAGGCCGAGAUUCGAACUUUGGUAUAAGAUUAAGUACUCAGCUACUAAAAUUAUAAGCCCUUGCAAAUUAUGAUAUGUAAACACAUUUCCUGUAAUGUUCUUCGAAAUACUAGUUACUGGCUAAAAAAUUUAUCAAGCUAAUGACCAUCAUAUCUUACAUAUGGCCGAAUUAAACAUCAUCAAUAAGCUGUGCAGUUGGGCGUUUGAUGGAAAGAAAGCACAGUUGGGACUUUAUUCCAAGGAAAAUCAGUUGUGCUUCAAUUUAAGGAACUCUGUUUACACUCCAAUCUCGUCUUUGGACACCCAUUAAUGUUGUUUUAAAAAUAUAAUAACAAUUAUAACCCAUUAAUAAGAUUACUAUAAUGGGCUUUGUUACGUUUAUAUUAAAAUUUCAAUUUCUCGGGCACUCACAAAAUAUAAUUAAACCUCACCCUUCCACUCUCACUAAUACUAUACCUAUUAUUAGGCCUAAUCAUUUGGCCCGUGGGCUUGUGAGCCGAUGGGGGUCCGUCCGGCCCGGUCCGUUAUGGGCUUUGAGAUGGCCCGGCCCGCCUUAGGCCAUGCUAGGUUUGGGCUUGGCUCACAUACAUAUAUAAUUAUGUAUAAAUAAGAGUUUAGGAUUAUGAUUAUAUCACUUAAAUCACAUAUAUAAUUUGUUUCAUUUCAUUUACUUUUCUUUACUCAUUCCUAGUUUAUAAUUGGAUGAUUAGCACAUUAAUUUGUGUCAAUUAUUAAUACAAAAAUUAUAUAUAUAAAUAAGAUGAAUAACAUAUCAUAUCACCAAAUAUAAUCAUAUCACGAAACAUAAUCGUACCACAAAAUAUAAUCAUGUUUUUCUUGAACACAUCACCAAACAUUUACAUAUUUAUUUAUACCAUCCUUUAAAAAAAAAUAUCUUUUUGAUACUUAUUAUUUUUUAAAAUUAUUUCUUAAAACGUAUUAUGGUCUAAUUAUGUAAUAACCUCAAAAAUAAUACUUGGUUUUAUUAUUUUUGUGGAAAAUCUUAUUAAGUUGUGUGACUUUAUUGGGUAUUUUAUGAAUUUGGUUUGAUGUGAAAAUAUUGAAAUUAAGUGAGUUUAAUCUCAAAUUUAGACUAAAAUGCCCUUAUGAUUAAGUUUAUGAUUUUUUUCGAACGAAGUAGGCCUGUUUUAGCCCGGCCUGGCCUAAUGGGCUUUCUCAAGCCCGGCCUAUGGGUCGGGCUUGGGCUUUGAAUUGUCUAAAAAAACCCGACCCGGUUUUUUCUCUCUCCUCUUUAAAGCCUGGGCCGGCCUGGUCCAAGCUCGUUAAAUUUGGGUCGGACUAACCCGGCCCGGCCCAUUGACGAGCCCUAUGUAUUAUUUCUCUAACUUCUUAACCACAACCCAUAAAUCACUAAUUCUUAUGUGAAAUAAAUGUAACUAAAUUAUGUGGAAAGAGGUGGACCAAAAAAAAAAUUAUGUGGAAAGACUACAAUGUACAAACAACUUGUCGUCUAUGAUAACUCUAAUAAGGAAAAAGUAUGAUUUGGUGUGUCUUGGGACACUUUUUUUUCUUCCGGUUUUGACAUUGAAAAAUUUUGAGCUGCGACACAUGCAGUGACCAGAAACCACACAACUCAUAAAUCUGUAGUUAGGAAACCAUACAUCAUCAAGAUGUAUGGCCAACACCAACCACAAUUUUUUAUUUUGGAGAUACAUCAACCACAUAUUUAUGAGUAAGUAAUAAUAAUCUUGGAAAUAUCAAAUUUUUUAAAUCUCAACUGAUGUAACAAUGUUUCAUUUAUUUAUAUUUCAACUCAUCGCGAAUAUCAUUUAUUUAGAUUGCCAUAUUAUGUGUCACCCUAAAAAAAACUGAUCUUGUAGCAUAUUAGUUUAUAUUAGAAAGUUGCAAUAGUAGAACUUGGUUUAACAAGGUGGCCUUUGAGUGAGGUCAGAUCAAAUAGAAGAACAAAAAUUUCAUUGAAUGGAACUUUACUUUUGGACCUUAGGGUUAGGUUACAUCCUAGGUGUAUUCGUAUGACCACUAGAAACAAUCACGAGAUUCUUGUUUUAAAAUAAGGUGGUCCAAUCUUAAGUUGUCAUAAACAUUGCCUUGUUCUAGAAAUAGUUGGUCCAAUCUUUGUGAUCAUAUUAUUAGUAUUUACAAUCAAUAUAUGUAGUAACUUGUCAUACAAACUUCUAUUCUUUAAAACAAGACUUGCGCGACAAGGUACUUGGCUUUUAGUCAUGACUCGUUAAAUAUUUAGACCAAUUGUCCAUGCUGUUUUUUUGAUCAAAAAUUGUCCAUGAUAAUGUUGAGGCAAGUAGACGUGGGUUUUGUUUCUAUUGUUUUCUAUGCUUCUGGAUAUAGUUCUUUGGUAGCGUGCGAUUAAAGCGUUUCUCAGUGAAUAACUUUUUUGGGCAAAACAUUAGCUUUGAAAAACUCUUCUUCUGAGCAUUCAAUCAAUCAAUGAGUGUAAGUAUACAAGAUCAUCAUGUGCAAGUAAGGAUUUCAGAGGUCACGAUACUUGAGCAAUUCCAAAUACGAACAUACUGUUCUCAUAAGCAAGAAAGAUAUAAUAACCGUGCUAUUUCAAAUAUUGACAUUUCUACAAAGGCAUAGAUGACCCCAACCCACGCCCACCGUGUGCCAUCAUAAGCAUAUCUCCUAAUACAACUAUAUGGAUUACCUAGCAAGUCCAGUGCAACUUUGUGAAACGCAUAUAAGUUCGUUACUCACAUGCCUUAAAAUCAAUUAUGUGGCGUAGUCCAUGAAACAAUUCUCACAAUGAAAUUGUGUGGUUUCUCCAAUGCAGUGUAGUAAAUCACAUAAAAUUGAUUAUUUUCAUGGACCACCUGUGGGAUCAGCUGAGAAACUGAAAGUGCUUGGGUCUAGGAGGUCAGCUCAAGCGCAUUGGAGUCCGGAAGGUUCGCUCAAGCGCAAGCACACUUGAAGAAAAGAAAAAAAAAAAGAAAAAAAAGAAAAAAAAAGGGGUCAUGGACCACCUAGGAUUAGCUAAGAAACCAAAGGCGCUGGAGUCCAGGAGGUCAGGUCAAGCGCAUUGGGGUCCGGAAGGUCCGCUCAAGCGCAAGCACACCCAAAAAAAAAAAAAAUCAUGGACCACCUGGGAUCAGCUAAGAAACCGAAGGCACUAGGGUCCAGGAGGUCAGCUCAAAUGCAUUGGGGUCCAAAAGGUCCCCUCAAGCGCAAGCACACACCGAAAAAUAAAAUAAAAAAGUCAUGGACCACUUGGGAUCAGCUGAGAAACCGAAGGCGCUGGGGUCAGGUUAGCUCAAGCGCAUUAAAGAUCCGCUUAAGCGCAAGCACACCCAAAAGAAAAAAAAAAUGUCAUGGACCAUCUGGAACGUGGGUUGGGUGGGUGGGGUCCGACUGUAAGUGCAUAAAGGUGGAGAUGGCUGGGUUAGGUGCGGCUACAGAUGGCUGGGGUUGGGUGGGCGUGGGGAAAAUUGGUGGGUUGUGGGCUGCUGGGUUGGGGAGGACGGUGGGGAGUCUAAGGAAGAUGGGGUAGCAGAGAGACAAAUGAAAAUCAAAGUAGAAUGAGAAUAAAGAAGGCUGGUUUUCAAUUUCUAAAAAUAUGGUUAUGGAGAAAACAAAGGGUGGAGAAGGAUUUUUAAUAGCAUACUAGCCUCUCUGCACGCGCUUCCGCGCUUGCGAGAGGUUUUUUUAAAAAAAUAAGUAAAUUUCUUUUAGAAUUAAAAAAGAUAAUGGUAGUUGUGUUCCAUAAAAAUAGGAUCUAUUAUCUGCUUUUUCUUUUUCUUUUAAUUUUUUUAAAUAUGAAAAAGUGUGAAUUUAUCAUAUUAUCCUCAUUUAAUUAAUAAUUUGAAUUCUUAAUGUUUGCAUUAACCAAGGGCAUUUUCUGGUAUUUUGAAUGUUUCACCAUUCUCUGCCUUUUGCUUUAUAUAUAUAGAUAUAUACUAGCCUCUCUGCACGCGCUUUUGCACAUGCGAGAGGUUUUUUUAAAAAAAAUUUAAAUUUAUUUUAGAAUUAAAAAAGAUAAUGGAUAGUUGUGUUCCAUAAAAAUAGGAUUCAUUAUCUGAAUUUUCUUUUAAUUUUAAUUUUUUUAAUAUGAAAAAUUAUGAAUUUACCAUAUUAUCCUCAUUUAAUUAAUAAUUUCAAUUCUUAAUGUUUGCAUUAACCAAGGGUAUUUUCUGGUAUUUUGAAUGUUUCACCAUUCUCUGCCUUUUGCUUUAUAUAUAUAGAUAAACCUUAAACGGCACAAAAAUACUUUUCGUGCCCUAUGAAAAGCACAAUUAAUCGUGCUUUCAAAUUGUAAUAAUAAUUUCAUAGCCUCACUUAUUACUCACAGUGAAGUGACAUAGUAAAAGGUAGUAUUGACAUGGAUAUUAGGCACAAAUCUCGUGUCCAAAUUUCAAUGGGCACAAAUAGAUUCUUUUUGUACUCGUCUUAGACACAAACCUACAGUGUUUUAUGUGUAAUGAAGUUGAAAAAGACACGAUCCUUCUUUUGUGCUCUAUAAAAUGCGUCUUUAGAGCAGUUUUGUAGUAGUAAAAUAAACUGUACAUGCCUAAUUAUGUAGCAUGCGAUCAUGUUGUUAUACUAGAAUUGCUUAAAACUUUCAUGUGAACACGAAAUGACAAGAAUCGUAAGAUAAAGUUGCUCCAACCAAUAAUCAAAUACUCGAAACAAAGAAAAAUUGCAGUCUACUAACAAAGAGAAAUAUGGGGGUCAUAUUAAAAGAAUAAACGAUAGUAGGACUCAACAUAUAAAAAGAUUUUAAAAUAACUCAUCAAAAGAGCUUCGAGUGUGAAUUGCAUUGCUCUCGAUCCACCAUGUACACACGUUGGUACGUUGGUAGUUGGUUUCUGGUAAUCUGAACAGACAUAUAUACCCUUGAUUUGGGACCAGACCAGCUGUAAUCAACUUUGAAGGAAAAUGUGUGCCUCAUACAAGUACGGAAAAAGAUAAAAAAGAAAGAGAAUAUAAUUUCAAUCCCACUUCGGGGCUGCAAGGGUUUUCAUUCACACAACCUGAAAUAUGGGAAGGUUCUGUUUACAUAUAUAUAUUCUCUCUAUUUCUAAAGCAAGCAUGAAAGAAUGAUCAAAUCAACUAUCCAAGUGUGUCAGCUGGCAGAUUGCAAUUGGUGCUAGCUGGUUCUUCUUGUGGUCACAGACUCACCAUACAACACUAAUUUUAUCUUAUCUUAUCUUUUGGUGGGAAACAUGAGCCUUGAAUUGUCCCCUCAAUCAAAUUCAAAUCAAACUCAAGUGCUUGAGUGAGUGUUCAUGGUGGGGGGCAAUGUAGAUUAAGUUAUGGGACCAGAGAAACUUUUGGGAUCCUAUAUUUCUAAGUUUGAAGUUGUAAAUUAAGUUAUAGUGAUCAUGCUCCAAUGGCACAACCAAGCCUCUCUCACUUCUCAUCCUUCCUUUUGAUUCUUCUUCUCUUUGCAUUGUCACUUGGGCAACAAACAGCUGCAGGACAUGGACUCUCAAUCAAGGAAGCCACCAUAGACGAUCUCCAACUAGCUUUCAAGCACAACAAGCUCACCUCAAGGCAACUUGUCCAGUUUUACCUUGGGGAAAUCAGCAAGCUCAACCCUUUCCUCAAGGGGGUCAUAGAAGUGAACCCGGAUGCGCUUUACCUUGCCGAAAAGGCUGACUACAAGCGCAAGACUAAGGCACCAUCUGUGUCACUCUCUAAGUUACAUGGCAUUCCCAUUCUGGUCAAGGACAACAUUGCAACCAAGGACAAGUUGAACACCACAGCUGGCUCUUAUGCUCUGCUUGGCUCUGUUGUGCCCCGGGACGCCGGCGUGGUGACCAAGUUGAGGAAGGCUGGGGCUGUCAUACUGGGAAAGGCCAGCUUGAGUGAGUGGUCCUAUUGGAGGUCCAAUGAUGCACCUUCUGGUUGGAGUGGCAGAGGUGGCCAAGGGGUGGUGAGUUGAGGAUCAUUAAUUGCCUUAUGUUAUGCUGUGAAACUGUCAAUUUAAAACAUACAUUCAACUAAAAGUUCACAUAACUAAUGUUCGAGAUUGACUGUCAGUCUGAUAAUAUAAGAGAACAGACAUUCUGAGAUUUAACCCACUGAGAUAUAGUUCGGUUGAGUGCAGAACCCUUACAAUUUUAGCACGACGCCAAGCGGCUCAAGUAGCGGGCCGGCAAUAUCAGCGGCAGCAAAUCUGGCAACAGUGACACUGGGGAGUGAAACAGACGGGUCGAUUUUAAGUCCAUCCAGUUGGAACUCAGUGGUGGGCAUCAAACCAACAAUUGGCCUUACAAGUCGAGCAGGGGUUGUUCCAAUCUCUCCAAGACAGGACACAGUCGGGUAAGUGGUGAUCAAUCAAUGUAAAUUAUUUUCACAUUAAUUUAGAUGGCUGGCUUUUUCUGUCUCAUUGUUUGUUGGGGGGUGUUGGAUUGAACAGGCCAAUUACUAGGACAGUAUCAGAUGCCGCAUAUGUUCUUGAUGUCAUUGCAGGCAUUGACAGCAAUGACCUUGCAACAAGUGAGGCAUCGAGGUACAUUCCCAAGGGCGGCUAUGCACAAUUUCUCAGACCUGAUGGACUUAGAGGUAAGAGAAUAGGGAUAGUGAGAGCCUUGUUCAACUUUGGCAGUGACGCUUCGUUGACUCAAACUUUCGAACAGCAUUUCAACACUCUGAGGUAACCAAAAAAAUGUAUUAGUCUCUCCAAUUCGAGACAUAAUACGUUCUGUUUUGAUGACAUAAUAAGUUGUUGGAAUUUGGAAAUUUAAUGUAGGAAAAGAGGUGCUGUUUUGGUAGACAAUUUGGAAAUAGCACAUUUUGAUGAAAUCUACUAUAAUUCAAGUAGUGAAGACAUUGCAUUGUCUGCUGAGUUCAAAAUUUACUUGAACACAUACCUCAAGAACUUGGUGGCUUCACCGGUUCGAUCCUUGGCAGACGUGAUAGUCUUCAACAAUAAAAACUCAAAACUGGUGAGUAAAUAGGAGCAAGGGUUUAUGUAACUUUCAAAUCAUAUGCUCAGAAUUUGUCCUAAGUAAUUGGUUGAGCUACCGGCAAUGCAGGAGAAAGUGAAGGAGUAUGGCCAAGGCCUACUCUUGAAAUCUGAAGCAACAAAUGGGAUUGGCAAUGCAGAGAAGGCAGCGCUGGUAAACUUGGCAAAGCUAUCCAAAAAUGGUUUCGAGAAGCUCGUGACGAAGAAGAGGCUAGACGCAGUGGUGGCUCCAUCUGCAACCGUGUCGACGUUGCUCGCCAUAGCAGGCUCCCCAGGAGUGGUUGUCCCAGCAGGAUAUACUAAAGAUGGGGUACCGUUUGGCAUCUCCUUUGGCGGGCUGAGGGGUUCGGAGCCAAAGCUAAUUGAGAUAGCAUACGGCUUUGAGCAAGCCACUAAGAUUAGGAAGCCUCCUUCACUUAAAAACUUCAAGAUUUAGAGCCCCAUUUUAUUGGUAUUGAAGCUAAUGGGCGUGCUAUUGUAGUCUUACCACAAUAUCAAUAGCAUUAAGAGUACAAGUGAUAGUCUAAACUAUAAGAGAGUUGAUGAAAGGUAUGAAAGAUUUUUUUUUUUUUUUUAAUGUUUACAAGUCAGGGUUUUUUUUUUUCACUGUGCUAGACCCGGUUGGCAACAAAAUAUGUAUGAUUUAAACAUUAUAAACAUGAUCCACAACCAUAGGAAACAUAAUAUAACUAAGUAAAUAAUAAGCCAAAGUGAAACUCCUAUCCCGUGAGAAUUAACCAAUUAAAUAUCAUCUAAUCAAAUUGCUCUCACCAUCAGGGGCGGAUGCACAGAGGGACAAUAGGGGUCAAGUGCCUUAUGGCAACUGAAAAGGUAGCUGUAGAGGUCUCAAACGACCCCAUGGCUGGCUGGUGUGCGACCUCGAAGGUGCACACUAGAUGUUUGAUGAAAGGUUUGAAAGACCUAGUGAUGCUGCUGUUGCGCGCAGCACAGCGAGGUAAUUUUUUUUUUUCAAAAUCACAUGGCCAAAACAACGUUGUUUUGGUCCAAGCGUAUUCAAAUUUUUUUUAAUGACCUGACUUCAAAACGACGUCGCUUUAAGCCAGCUUUUAUAAAAUUUAAAUUUAUAAAAAUAAAAAUAAAAGAACAGAACCCACCCUUUUUUUUCACAUUUACACCAGGUCUUAAAUAUGUUGAUCUUUAGAGCACUUCCAGCGCGCGUUUUCAACCCGGGCAAGAGGGGCCCAAAGGCCACAAUCCAACUCCACCGCGCCAAGUCCAGCCAGGGCAAGGUUUGGGUCUCACGAGCCUCGUAAGCCCACAAGCAAAUUCAGCUUGAGCUGCUACCUAGGCAAAAUGACACAAUGCUGACGUCAUAAUGAUGUCAUCAAUCAAGAAAGAUUUUGAAAAAAAAUACCAAAAUUUCAGAAUUAUAUAUAUAAAUAUCUAGUCAUAUUCUUUACUUCCUACAUCAAAAACUUCUUUCAAAUUCAUCUCCUCAUAUCUCAUGUGAAUAGUAAUUGCCCUUGUCAUGGCCCAUAGGGGUGGAAACAAAAUUGCAAGGGUUGCCAUUAUUCAUGUGAAUAGUGACAGCCCUUGCCUUGCCCUUGCCUUGCCCUUGCCCUUGCCUUGCCUUUGCCCAUAGGGGUGAAAGUGCUCUUAUAUCAAUUUCUUCAUAUAUUACAACUGUACUAGUACAAACACCCCUUUUACUUGCCCAGCUAGACUCACCCCCCCAAAUGAAUAUUUCUUCCUCCUCUCAUCAACAAUUGAUUAAGGGGUUAUUGAUAGUGUUUUGAUUAAUUGAUUAAUGCUUGUGUUUUGAUUAAUUGAUUAGGGCUUUGUGUUUUGAUUAGUUUAUUAGGGCUUUUUUUUAAUAUUUGAUUAGGGUCUUGUGCUCAGGUUUUUUUUACAUGUUUUGUGUUUUGAUUAGUUGAUUAGGAAUGAAAAUGCUAUUGUUUAAUUUUUCAAUGUUUAUUUUGUUUUGAAGAAAAAUUUCGAAAUCUUUACACUAUGACCCCAUAUUCUAAGAAUCCUAAAUCUGCCACUGCUCACUAUACCUAUUUUUUCUCUAACUUCUUAACCACAACCCAUAAAUCACUAAUUCUUAUGUGAAAUAAAUCUACUAAAUUAUGUUGAAAGAGUUUGACCAAAAAAAAAAAUUAUGUGGGAAGACUACAAUGUACAAACAACUUGUCGUCCAUGAUAACUCUAAUAAGGAAAAAGUAUGAUUUUGUGUGUCUUCGGAUACUUUUUUUUAUUCCAGUUUUGACAUUGAAAUUUUUUGAGUCGCGACACAUGCAAUGACCAGGAACGACACAACUCAUAAAUCUGCAAUUAGGAAACCACACAUCAUCAAAUUGUGUGGCCAACACCAACCACAUAUUUUAUUUUUAUUUUUGAGAUAUUGAGUAAUAAUAAUCCUAGAAGUAUCAAAAAAUUUCAAUAUCAACUAAUGUGGUAAUUCUUCAUUUAUUUAUAGUUCAAUUCACCGUGAACAUCAUUUAUUUAGAUUGACAUAUUAUGUGUCACCCUAAAAAAAAAAACUGAUCUUGCCCCACAUUAAUUGAUAUUAGAAAGUUGCAAUAGUAGAACUUGGUUUAACAAGGUGGCCUUUGAGUGAGGUUAGAUCAAAUAGAAGAACAAAAAUUUCAUUGAAUGGAACUUUACUUUUGGACCUUAGGGUUAGGUUACAUCCUAGGUGUAUUCGUAUGACCACUAGAAACAAUCACGAGAUUCUUGUUUUAAAAUAAGAUGGUCCAAUCUUAAGUUGUCAUAAACAUUGCCUUGUUCUAGAAAUAGUUGGUCCAAUCUUUGUGAUCAUAUUAUUAGUAUUUACAAUCAAUAUAUGUAGUAACUUGUCAUACAAACUUCUAUUCUUUAAAACAAGACUUGCGCGACAAGGUACUUGGCUUUUAGUCAUGACUCGUUAAAUAAUAUCAACUCAUAUUUAGAACCAAUUGUCCAUGAUGUUUUUUUGAUCAAAAAUUGUUCAUGAUAAUGUUGAAGCAAGUAGACGUGGGUUUUGUUUUCUAUUCUUGUUCCUUCUAUAGGAAAUAAACUGUACAUGCCUAAUUAUGCAGCAUGCGAUCAUGUUGUUAUACUAGAAUUGCUUAAAACUUCCAUGUGGAUAAUGACAAAAAAUCGUAGGAGAAAGUUGCCCCAAACAAUAAUCAAAUCCUACAUGAAUGUUAAAGCAACAAAGGGGUUAUUAAAAAUUUAUUAAGUGUCAAAUUGCCGUAUAGGUCAUCAAGAGAUGAUAUUGUGAUGAACUAUUACUUUUGGCCUUCUAUCUAUGCCACCAAAAAUUAUCCAAUUUGUGAACGGUUAUCUAUGAUAUAAGGCUUUAUAAUUCUUUUUUUUAGUUCCCAACAGAAUCAUGGACUGUAUAUGAAGUUUUAAGUAUUAUUGUCACAUACCCGACAUGGUAAUGAUUAUAAUAUUAUGUACACUAUUAUAGGUUAAUACUUUUUAUGGAGGAUUGAGAUACAAAGGCGGCAAAGGUUUUCAUUCACACACUUCUCUCUUCUCCUCGUACGCAUCAAAUAAGGUAGCUUCUUUUUUUUUUUUUUCAAAUUUACCCUUAUUAAUUAUUUAUUGUUAAUUAAAACACAUUAACCAGUUGGGAAUUUUCCUCUUCUCCCAACUCCCUAACCCAGCUCAAGAGAAGAAGACGUCAGAGCCUAAUUUGGAUCCCACCAUCGCAUUCAUUGAUACCAACCUCAUAUCAGAAAGCUCCAUGUUUUUUUUUUUUUUUUUGGGUUGCCUGCCCUAUUUCAUAUAUUCUCUCCGUUUCUGAAAUAAGAAAAAAAGAAUAAUAAAAUCAACUUUCCAAUUGUGUCAGCUGACAGAUUGCAAUUGGUGCUAGCUGGUUCUUCUUGUGGUCACAAACUAAUCAUGCAACACUGAUUUUCUAUUCUUUUAGGUGGGAAUAUUAGCUACCAACUAGUCUAGUCACCUUAAUCAAACUCAAUUGCUUCACGGAAGUGGCCAAUGGGACCAGAGAACUUCUCAUUCCAAACAACCAAAAACUCAUAAAAUGAUCAUGAAGUCAAUCAAAUUGCAAAUUAUUAAGAAGUGAAUUGAGGGGUACUUUUCGCUUUUGGGACCCUAUAUCCAUGGCACAAUUUCUAAGUUGAAGUUGUAAAUCAAGUUCUAGUGUUCACUCCUCCAAUGGCACAAGCAAGCCCCUCUCACUUCUCAUCCUUCCUUCUGAUUCUUCUUCUCUUUGCACUGUCACUUGGGCAACAAACAACUGCAGGACAUGGACCCUCAAUCAAGGAAGCCACCAUAGACGAUCUCCAACUAGCUUUCAAGCACAAGCAGCUCACCUCAAGGCAACUAGUCCAGUUUUACCUUGGGGAAAUCAGCAGGCUCAACCCUUUCCUCAAAGGGGUCAUAGAAGUGAACCCGGAUGCGCUUUAUCUUGCGGACAAGGCUGACUACGAGCGCAAGACUAAAGCACCAUCUGUGUCACUCUCUAAGUUACAUGGCAUUCCCAUUCUGGUCAAGGACAGCAUUGCAACCGAGGACAAGUUGAACACCACAGCUGGCUCUUAUGCUCUGCUUGGCUCUGUUGUGCCCCGGGACGCCGGUGUGGUGACCAAAUUGAGGAAGGCUGGGGCAAUCAUACUGGGAAAGGCCAGCUUGAGUGAGUGGGUCUAUGGGAGGUCCAAUGAGACACCUCCUGGUUGGAGUGGCAGAGGUGGCCAAGGGGUGGUGAGUUGAGGAUCAUUAAUUGCCUCCUGUAUACCUUGUUUGAUUAAUUUAAACGGUUAAGUUCUCUUGAUAGAAACUUGGUAUGUUAUGUUGUGAAACUUUCAAUUUGAAACAUACAUUCAACUAAAAGUUCACAUAACUAAUGUUUGAGAUUGACUGACAGUUUGAUAAUAUAAGGUAACAGACAUUCUGAGAUUUAACCCACUGAGAUAACAGACAGUCUGAUAAUGUUCGGUUCAGUGCAGAACCCUUACAAUUUCAACGCGACGCCAAGCGGCUCAAGUAGCGGGUCGGCAAUAUCAGCGGCAGCAAAUCUGGCAGCAGUGACACUGGGGACUGAAACAGACGGUUCAAUUUUAAGUCCAUCCAGUUGGAACUCAGUGGUGGGCAUCAAACCAACAAUUGGCCUUACAAGUCGAGCAGGGGUUGUACCAAUCUCUCCAAGACAGGACACGGUCGGGUAAGUGGUGAUCAAUCAAUGUAAAUUAUUUUUACAUUAAUUUAGAUGGCUACCUUUUUCAGUCUCAUUGUUUGUUGGGGGGUGUUGGAUUGAACAGGCCAAUUGCUAGGACAGUAUCAGAUGCCGCAUAUGUUCUUGAUGUCAUUGCAGGCAUUGACAGCAAUGACCCUGCAACAAUUGAGGCAUCGAGGUACAUUCCCAAGGGCGGCUAUGCACAAUUUCUCAGACCUGAUGGACUUAGAGGUAAGAGAAUAGGGAUAGUGAGAGCCUUGUUCAACUUCGGCGGUGACGCUUCGUUGACUCGAACUUUUGAACAGCAUUUCAACACUUUGAGGUAACAAAACCAUGUAUUAGUCUCUCCAAUUCGAGACAUACGUUCUGUUUUGAUGACAUAAUAAGUUGUUGGAAUUUGGAAAUUUAAUGUAGGAAAAGAGGUGCUGUUUUGGUAGACAAUUUGGAAAUAGCACAUUUUGAUGAAAUCUACUAUAAUUCAAGUAGUGAAACCAUUGCAUUGGCUGCUGAGUUCAAAAUUUACUUGAACACAUACCUCAAGAACUUGGUGGCUUCGCCAGUUCGAUCCUUGGCAGACGUGAUAGCCUUCAACAAUAAAAACUCAAAACUGGUGAGUAAAUAGGAGCAAAGGUUUAUGUUACUUCCAAAUUAUGCUCAGAAUUUGUCCUAAGUAAUUGGUUGAGCUACCGGCAAUGCAGGAGAAAGUGAAGGAGUAUGGCCAAGGCCGACUCUUGGAAGCUGAAGCAACAAAUGGGAUUGGCAAUGCAGAGAAGGCAGCGCUGGUAAACUUGGCAAAGCUAUCCAAAAAUGGUUUCGAGAAGCUCGUGACGAAGAAGAGGCUAGACGCAGUGGUGGCUCCAUCUGCAACCGUGUCGACGUUGCUCGCCAUAGCAGGUUCCCCAGGUGUGGUUGUCCCAGCAGGAUAUACUAAAGAUGGGGUACCGUUUGGCAUCUCUUUUGGAGGGCUGAGGGGUUCGGAGCCAAAGCUAAUUGAGAUAGCAUACGGCUUUGAGCAAGCCACUAAGAUUAGGAAGCCGCCUCCACUUAAAAAACUUCAAGAUUUAGAGCCCCAUUUUAUUUGGGUGUUGAAGCUAAUGGGUGUACUAUUGUAGUCUUAUGAUCAACAAAAUGCUAAGGAUAAUAAUGACGGGUCUUGAUCAUUUAGAUUUUAUUACAACUGUUCUCUUGGUCUAAUACAUUUCUCUUUCAAAUGCUGUAAGAGAUUCAAGUUCAAAUGGCUCUCCCAAAUAAUUUAAAUUUAAAAAAAAAAUCAGAAAUUCUAUUAAAAUUGAAAACUAUUAAUUACUUGUUUUCUAUGAUAACCUUUUCAUGCGUUUAAUAACUGGAAUGCAUCAUGAUUUGACCGCAAUACCAAUACAUUUAGCAUUAAGAGUACAAGUGAGAGUCUAAACUACAAGAGAGUUGAUGAAAGAUAUGAAAUUAUUUUAUUUUAUUUUUUAAUAUUUACAAGUCAAAGUUCUUUUUCACCGUGCUAGACUUGGUUGGCAAAAAAUAUGUAUGAUUCACCGUGCACGGCUAUAUUAUUAUUAUUUUUAAAUAAAUAAAUAUAUAUAUAUACUUGCCCAAUGCAUAAGCGCCACGUGCCAAACAGGAAAAGUAGGGCAGCUAUACUUUCUUUUUUUUAAAUUUCGAAAAAACGAGUAUAGCCGCUCGGCUAUACUAAGUCUCGAAACAAAAACAUAGCUUUCAAACUUAUCCGAACUUGUUCCAAAACUGUUCGCAAGCCUCGAACCCUAACUGUAAACCUAUUGUAGGGCACUUAGGACUCGAUUAGGGUUAGAUAAUCACAUAACUCGACCCAGGGCUUUACGAUUUAGGUUUUGCUCUCAAUCUUGAGCUUUGGGGAGUUUUAAUUAAGGGCCAGUUUGGCAUUGAUGUGCUGUGAAACUAAUCAUUGUCAGAUUUGCUGUGAGAGAAAUCAACUGUGAGAUAAAACAGUUUGGCUUUUGGUAAACUUUUUGUUAAAAGUGUUGUUGGUAUUGAUUUCUGCAUAAUCAGAAAAUGAUUGCCGCAUAAUCAUUAAACCCAGUGCAUCUUCGAAACUGAAUUCUGCAUAAUCAGAAAAUGAAAGCAUCUCAUUAGCUAUUUUCCCUUAUAGCUUUCUCUCAGAACAAUUUUUAACAAUAAGUGAUUUUCUCAUAGUUAACCAAACGGGCUGGGCUUCCCAAAAUUUUUUUAAAAUCACUUAUCACCUCAAAUAAGCAAUAACAAACGGGCACUAAGACAUCUAAACGAAAAUAAGUAAUUUAUUUUUUCGUUUUUGCACAACAUAAUUAAAUCAGUAACAUAUUUAAAUAUUCACUAAAUAAAUAAUAAUUAAUACGUAAUUACUAAUCAAAGUGAUUCAAGAAGGCUAAUCACAUAUAUUAAGUUAAAGAAGUUGGCCCAAAAAAAAAGUAAAGAAACUAAUUUUAUAUUUUUAAAAUUCAAAAUUCAAAAAAAAAAACUCUCCCGACGAAAUUUCAUUGGCAGAGGAAACAUUCGUCGGGAGAAGUUUAAUCCAACAAAUAUUUACCGGCAUAGACCUGUACCGACGAACAUUCGUCAGGAGAUGUAUUUUCUUAGUUUGCUAUUACAGGGUAUAGCCGGUCAGCUAUACUUUAAAAUAUUCUUUUUUACGGGUAUAGCGGUCCGGCUAUACUGUUAAGGUAUUAUAUUUUUUAGAGUAUAGCUACGCGGCUAUACUAUUUAUAUAUUAAAAAAAGAAGCGACCAGCGCAUAGGUGCCACGUGUCAACACAGUUUUUUUUAAAACGGGUAUAGCCGCACGACUAUACUAUUUCUUUAAAAAAAUUCAAGAAGAAUAUAGUAUAGCCAACGGCUAUACUAUUUAUAUAUGUAUAUAAAGACACGCCCACCUAUGUGCCACGUGUCAAACAAGUACAGCCGUCCGGCUAUACUAUUUUGUUUUUAAAAUUUAGAAAAAAAAGGAGUAUAGCCGUGUGGCCGAUAAAUCCCUUUCUCAGAGUAUAGCCGCGCGGCGUUUUUCUCUUUCAUUAAAAAAACGAAAGGGAAAGGAAGGAAACAGCGCAACCAGCUGUUGCACAACCAAACAAAAAGGGAAACCAGAGUAACAACCGAAACACCCCCUGGGCAACACGACAAGAAGUCCAAACACACAAAGCACACCAAACAAAACAACUAAAGACAACAACAAAAACACCAGCUAGGACAAGAACAAUCUAGGACGCCGCCCCUGAAGGCGUGCGUCAGAGCCUAACUGGACGAAAAACCUUACACCUGUGGAGGACAGGGAAGCCCAUCACUUUGGAGAAGGAACACCAGGGAGGAUGGGGGUAGCUGGGCUUUAGUGUGUAAAUGGCAACUGGUGGUGGUGGUGGCUCUCCGUUGAUGAAUAGAGGUAAGUCAGAUUUUGUAGGUUUGAUUUGAUUUAAAUUAAUUUAAUUUUUGCUUGAUUAGUACAUGGGUACUCAAUUAUGGCUUAAUUAGUUUGGGAGAAGAAAUGGCUUCCCCAGUUUCAGUUUCGGUACUCUGAGAAAGGGAUUUAUCGGCCGAUAUCUCAUACCUCAGCCCAGUUGUGUUUCAAAGUUUGAAGUUAUGAACUCUGUGAGUCUGCAGCUAGUCCACUGCUUACUUGUGAUUCUUCUGCUUACAUUGUCAUCUGGGCCACAAACAAUUACAGGGCAAGGGUUCUCAAUCAGGGAAGCCACCAUAGAUGAUCUCCAACUUGCUUUCAAGCACAACCAGCUCACCUCAAGGCAACUUGUCCAAUUUUACCUUGGAGAAAUCACCAGACUCAACCCUUUCCUCAAGGGGGUCAUAGAAGUGAACCUGGAUGCUCUUGACCUUGCCGAAAAGGCUGACUACGAGCGCAAGACCAAGCCACCAUCUGUGCCACUCUCUAAGUUGCAUGGCAUUCCCAUUCUGAUCAAGGACAACACUGCAACCAAGGACAAGUUGAACACCACAGCUGGCUCUUAUGCUCUGCUUGGCUC